ACGGAGGGCCUAAGAGUAAGAAAGUGUCGUAUCCGCUAAGGCGGGCUUGGAGCGAAGGGAACUUGGCUUUGGUGGCUUCAGCCGGUUCUUCUGUGCACUCCUCGCCGUCUUCCUCGCCGGCUAAGCACCACCAUGCGGUCGGGAGGCUACAUCAGCGGCGGCAGUCGCAUCAACAAUUGGAUACUUUGUGCGAUGAGGACGAGGAGGAGGAUGAGGAGGAGAAUGUUCUCUUCAAGGUUUGAUGUAUGUUUGUGAUUUGAUCAGAACAAUAAGUAUACUUUGUUUGAUCAAUAAUAUGGGAUAAUCAAGUUUUGUAAUUAAAUCUAAUUUUGAGUUUACUCAGAGAGGUUUGUAAGUUUUUCUGAUCAUCAUCAUAUCAAUGCUAUUUUUUUAUCUGGCAAUCAUCGUAUUUUGGUUAAGAACAUGCUCUCUUUCCGUUUUGAACUCACUAAACAGAAUAUUGGGUUCUAAUUUGUUUCUAUCCAUCUUUGUCAAUUUCACUCCAAAUUUGCAGGUUUUAGACUGCAAAUAUGAAAUCUUGGAUCCCCUUCUUCCUUGCUCUCCUUCAAAACCCAAUUUGGGGAUCUAGCUAGAUUGUGGGUUGAGCUAUUGAGGAAGAACUUUGGCAGAGCUCUCUUUUAUAUUGGAUGGAAUCAGGGUGGGAUCGAGAGUGACCAAAAUAUAAUAUAACAGGUCAUAUGUUUUUGUUAGAGGUGUCAGACAAAUAACAUGACUGGUAACCCUUCUCAAGAUGUUGAUAAUUGGAGCCGGUGCCAAAAGCAUACAAGUAUAUGGAAAUUUUUUUUGACUUCUUACUUAUAACAAGUCAUUCAGUUCAACAAAUAAAUUGUAAGCGGACAUAUGUGUAAUAUAUUUACAUAUGUAUUAAAUUGUGACUUGCAGAUAAACCUUUUUUUAGAUACUUUUGGAGAUUCUUCGAUCUAGAUUAAACAAUGCAUAGGAAUUUGGAGAGCCGUUAACAUAAAGAAAGACUAUCAGUCUUUGAGUGUGUUUAAUUACCAAAUAGUUAAUAAAGCCAAUACAUUAUACAAUACAAUCCAAACACCAACCGACAUUUAAGAGAAAAUUUUUAAUGUGCCAAGCACACUACACUAAAUAUCAUAAUAUAAUUAGUUUGAUUUUUUUUUUAAAUUUCUCAUCAAUUAUAAUAUUACAGUUAGUGUAUUGGAAUAACCCUGCACACUAAAAAUCUCUCGUAUUCUAGGCUGGAUGGGAUGUUUAGUUGGCUGCACCAACAUGUUCAACAAAUUAGAAAACAACUUUUAUUAAAUAUUAUAACAAAAAGAGGAAAAGAAAACGAACAAACAGAAGAAAUGACACACAAAGUGAAAUACCAUCCAUGUUCUCAUGUCCCUCCAUCUAUGCUUCCCAAUCUGUCAUUUUAAAAUACCUAAUUAGAAACACGAAAAUAAUUUCCGUACUCUAGGUUUUCUCUCCGUACUUUUGUUGUUGUUUUGUUUUUGUCAUUAAAUUCAUCGAAAAGAUAUGAGGCACCUAAAUAAAGAAAUAAUACUGACGAAUGAGGUAUUUUUCUCAAUCCACUGUUUUUUGAGUUCAAAUUUAACUAUCUUCAUAGGAAUGGUUGCGGUUACUUAAAUUUUUUUAAAAGUAACUUCUUAAAAAAGUUGGGGUCUUAUUUGUGUUUAGUAAGUGAAAGUAGCUUCUUAAAAAUUACAAGUCCAAAACAACAGAACGCAGAAGCAGCUCUAUACAUGCUUCUAAAAAAAAACAUUUUUUUUUAUCAAUAGAGGCAGGUGAACAAUAUUGAAUUUCAUAUUGACAAUUCUACCUUGAUUUUUUUUUUUCACUAAAAGCCUUUUUUUUCACAGUUGUUUAGUCUCGUAGCAAAGCAGAAGCAAUUUAAAAUUUAAAAAAAGAAAGAAAAGAAAACACAACAACCCAAACUGAUCUUUAAUGUAGCUUAGAAUAGUAAUAUUAGUUGUAAUUAAAAAAAAUAAAAGGAAGAUCCAAAGAACAAAAGGGGAGUUUAGAAAACAUUUUCCAUUUAGAAAAUGUUAUCUUGUUCUUGCCGAAUGAAUAUAAGUAUUACGAAUAUGUCGACAUUGAAGAUGGCUACCACAUAAGAAUAUGACACACACAGAGAGUUUUGUGGUUGUACACCGUGCACACUCCAAAUGAGACAACAAUAUACAACAAAAAGAAAAUCGAUCAUCAUACAUUAUCUCCUCCAAUUGCAGAGGAGAUAUUUGCCUUUUACGGCGGGUAUAUUCAUUUGUUUAGUAUAACAUUGAUCACGUGACCGAGAUAUAUGUCUGGUAAUGGCGAAAUCUUUGCCCGCUUGCAGAUCUUUAUAAGCAACACAACCAAGAAAAGUGUACAUUUUUAAUUUGUUAGUCCGAAGUACAAACUAUAAGCUGCCAAUACGCAUGCCUUGGUUCCAAAGCUCACAGGCCUUGCCAAAACUAAAACUCAAAUAAGUGGUGCUACGAGGAAACAUAUCAUAGGCAAAAGCGUCAAGUACGAGAGUUUACACAGAAAGGUGGAGAACACAAAGGACUACCAAAGUUUCUGUCUAUAUUCUGUUGAGAAUGAAUUACACGUUAAUGAGAGGAGAGACCUUACAUGAACUUAUGUAGUGAAUAGUAAUUGCAACAGUGCAUUUCAAGUUUCAAUUCCGUAAAGAACUUACGUUUCUACAUAUAUGUGAUAUCGAAAGUUACUGUGAGAAGUUCACUUACAGAUUUAAGUACAUAUAAGAUAGCUGCAUUAUGUUAUCAUUUUUUUUUUUUUUUUGGAAAACACAUUAUGUUAUCAAUUUAUCACAAAAGAUAAAGUCACGAUCGAAUUUUCAAAUUCUUAUCGCACAAAGCAACAACACGAUCGACAUGGAGUCUCGAUCCACUGAAUGAAUUGCGAAUACCAUAUCAGAACAUUGUUUCUCAAAAUAAAUGGAAGCAGGCAGUCAAGAUUCGAGAUUACAAGGCCGGGAUAUACAAAAAUGACCAUGAAAAGGAUUGAAGCAAUAAAACGGAUUGAAGCAGAUAGUGUUUACUACCUUACUGAUAGUGGUUAUUAGUUAUUUUCAAGUAAUGACAAUUCCAAUGAGGUAAAGUUGAAAGGCAAAAACGCAAGAGCGAGAGAGGAGGGAGACAGUGACUCCAUAUUUUACGUCCUAAAGUUACUAUUCUACAAGGACGAGAGAGAGAUAGAGAGAGAGGACGGUGACGCCGUGCUAAAACGGAGAUGUUGUCGCGUAGAAACAGUCAACUAACUCACGCUCAUAACAAUAGGAUUGGUAACAAGAUUAGUAAAAAGACGUCAUUACGGAGAAAAACUAUGUUAAAGUCGUAGAAACAGUCAACUAAGCUUAAGUAAGAAAAUCGUUUUGUCUAAACUCUCCCUCUCUCUCUCUCUAAAGCAUGUGUUCGAGAAGCUGAUUUUUUCAAGAAAAACCAACUGCCUUGUUGAAUAACUACUUUGACAAGGCCUCAUGAAAAACAAAAGCUGAAAAAGAAUAAUGAUUCCCAAGAACGACCACCAUUGCUAAGCUUCUCUUGAGUUCAACGGCGUAGCGAAGCUAACAAAACUUCUACUCUUGGUUACUCCUACACUACCGUGAAGAAACACCCCUCCGUGUUCUAUAUAAGCAUGUAACAGAAGCACUUCAAAGACACACAUAUGUAGAAAAAGGAAGCACACUUUUUCAAAAGCUUAAUUGGCACAUACAUACUUACACUUGCGUUUUCACUAAAGCUUAGGAGAGGAGAGGUGGGAGGGAUGAUCCUUGGGAUAGCGGCAAUGAUGCUUCAAUGCGUGAUUGAAGUAAGUUUAUCAAUUCAGGACAUGGAGAUUGAGAACAGGCCAUACCACCGCAAUUGCAGCUGCGCGCUGCACAACUUGAAGGGUAUUUGCUCUUGCCCUCCAAAAACGAUUGUUUCAUUCCCCAAGAAACAGCCUUGUUGUUCUCGAUGGCUCAUCAGUACGGAACAAAGAAGACCCGAACGUGCUGUAUCAUGUCACGGACAAGAUUUAGAGAGCUUGUCACAGCAGAGCAACAAGGAAAAGGUCAGCAACUGAAAAGUAACAUCUUUAAUUUAUUUGUUUCGCUCUAUAUCUAGACAUCCAGGUCACCUGGAGAGCUUGAGAUAAAACCGUCUGGAAAGAGGCAUUUGUUUAUUUGAAUCCUCCCAAUCACCCCCCAAACACCUUUUUAUUUACGCCACAAAUUGCACACAAAGAAUACUACUUGUACAACAACCAAGCCUUAUCUCAUUAAACGGGGUGGGCUGUAUGAAUCAUUGAAUGCCACUGCACUCAGUCUUGUGCCAAAUCUUUCUUUAGCUACAAGUACUCCAUAUCCUUUCUUAUAAUCUCUUUCUGAGUCUUCCGUUAGCUACAAAUAUUCCAUUUAUACAGAUAAAGUCUAUAGACUCUACACCAAGUUGGUAAGUCAUCAUAUCAAAACAAUCAGAUUAUAAAUUUAGGACAGGAAAAAACAAACACGCCUGUCUUGAUAUCGAAAAACUCUUCUCAUGAGGAGCCAUGGAAGCUAAGCUCAUUCUUAGUCCUUCCUACCCCAGAGUGGGAGCGAUGAGAUGAAUGUUUCGAUACCUAAUUGAAAUAUCACCAACACAAGAUAAAAAAGAAAAAAAUAAAUUGUAGCCACGCCCCUGAUUGCUCGAUUCAUACUUCCUCUAAUCUGCAGCAGUACUGCGUCACUAAUUAGUGCAUGAAACAUUAGUUCAUCACUAGAAAAUAUAAUCAUAAUUCAUACAUUUAGUACAUCACUCAAAGAAAUAAUUAUACAUUUAGUUCAGCGCUAAGUAAGCUCUGGCAGUUGAGCAACUAACGACGGAUAGGCUGGGGCGACAGACUGGAGUUGCAAAAUGUCAUCUGCAAGCUAAAAGCUCACCUGACAAAGGAAACCUUCUGGCUUUUCCGGUAAGUGCUUAUUUCUCUGAAACUUUCCUGGUCGUACGUGUACAAGAUAUUUAGUUUGAAUUCAUAUCAGUGUGAUACAAUUGGCAAAGGCAAAGAAACUUAAGCACAUACGCAAGCAAGAUAUGAAUUAUAACGAAGACAUGAAUAUCUGACACAUCACAAACCUUUUAAGUUAAACAUAAGAAGCUGAACUAAAUAUAUGAAGUGGAUUCUUCGUAGUUUCGAGUUGAAGGUGGUAACUUAUGUUAUGUCUUACAGGUUUCGUCAUUGGAAGAAUUUUUUUCGUUUCAUUGGGUCAGAGUACGAGAGUUCAAUUGGCAAGGGAAGAGAACCGUCCUACUGGUGGAAGCAGAACUCCUCCUACUUUAUCAUACCCAGGACCCAGCAGACCUAGCAAGCCUUGACUCAAAACCCUAGCAACCCUUUACUUUGACUACAUAAAAAGGAGUUCGGAGAGAAAGCUGCAAUCAAUGGGAUAUUUCUAAUUCUCUCUUCCCGAAUGUAAGAACGUGAAAUUUUAUGGGUUAAAAAAUUGAAGUAAGGAGUUGUUGAAAAUCUUAAAACGGAAAGGAAUUUUGACUCUAUUGGAUUAAGAAAAUAAUUUACUCCAUCCUUCAAAUACUAGAAUGAAUAUCCGACGAAGUAAAACCAUCUUUAUCAAGAUGAUAAUUUGAACGGGUGAUUCAUGAAUGCAGCCGGGUUGGACCGGUCAAUAACUCGAAGGCGUUUAAUUUCCAUCGAACAUCUAUGAGGAGUUGGCAAAUCUCCCCCGAACCUCUUUGAGGGGUUUGUAAAUUUCCACCGAACCUCUACGAGGCAUUUGGAAAUUUCAACCGAGCCUGAUCCAGCGUAAUAUCUUUAGUUUCUCACCUAUAAACAACUAACAUUGCAUAUAGCCUUUAAAUCUAUAUGUUAAUUUGCUCUUCAAAUUUAAAUUUCUAGACUUUUUUUUUUUAAAAAAAUAAGUCCUUAAAUCUACUUUUGCAAGUCACGUAAUUAAAUUUCUAGACUUUUUUUUUUCAUCAGCAGUCUGUGUCACAUCCCGGCCCGGGGUCCACCACAUCCCAAGCCCGCUCUACCGCCGUAGCACAAUAUUGUCCGCUUUGGGCCCCGACUACGCUCUCACGAUUUUGUUUCUGGGAACUCACACGAGAACUUCCCAGUGGGUCACCCAUCAUGGGAAUGAUCUCGCACGCUACUCGCUUUAACUUCGGAAACCCGAAGUCAGUGAGCUCCUAAAAAGUCGUGUCACAUCCCGGCCCGGGGUCCACCACAUCCCAAGCCCGCUCUACCGCCGUAGCACGAUAUUGUCCGUUUUGGGCCCCGACUACGCUCUCACGGUUUUGUUUCUGGGAACUCACACGAGAACUUCCCAGUGGGUCACCCAUCAUGGGAAUGAUCUCGCACGCUACUCGCUUAACUUCGGAAACCCGAAGUCAGUGAGCUCCUAAAAAGUCGUGUCACAUCCCGGCCCGGGGUCCACCACAUCCCAAGCCCGCUCUACCGCCGUAGCACGAUAUUGUCCAUUUUGGGCCCCGACUACGCUCUCACGGUUUUGUUUCUGGGAACUCACACGAGAACUUCCCAGUGAGUCACCCAUCAUGGGAAUGAUCUCGCACGCUACUCGCUUAACUUCGGAAACCCGAAGUCAGUGAGCUCCUAAAAAGUCUCGUGCUAGGUAGAGAUAAGAAUAUACAUAUAAGGCUUACAUGAUCCAUUCCCUGGGCGAUGUGAGAUGUUACAAUCCACCCCCCUUAGGGCCCGACGUCCUCGUUGGCACACUUCCGGCCAGAGAUGACACACUUCUGGCCAGAGAUUGGCUAUGAUACCAAAUUGUCCAUCCCGACCCAGGCCCCCACCACAUCCCAGGCUCAACUCCACCGUAGCACGGUAUUGUCCGCUUUGGGCCCCGACCACGCCCUCACAAUUUUGUUUCUGAGAACUCAAACGAGAACUUCACAGUGGGUCACCCAUCAUGAGAAUGCUCUCGCACACUACUCGCUUAACUUCGGAGUUCCGAUGGAACCUGAAGCCAGUGAGCUCCCAAAAGGCUUCGUGCUAGGAAGAGAUGAGAAUAUACAUAUAAGGCUUACAAGAUUCAUUCCCCUGGACGAUGUGGGAUGUUACAGCUUGAUCAUACUUUCACACUUAAUAUUUCAUCUCUAAACUCUAACGGUGAUGAUAAAUAACUUAUCAAAUAAAUAACUUGAAAGACAGAUGGCUAAAUUGAAGGUUUGAGCUUUUUCCCGAGUAUUUAAUUUCCGCACUCCAUUUUUCUCCUCUGCAUUUCUCUAGUUUAGUGUCUGCAGGAAGUGCCUUCCGAUGGUUCAGAAAGCACUUUCUAAGAGUCAAUUACUUUAGGAAGUACUUCCCGAUACUACAUAAAGCAUUUCCAAAUAUGCACUUUCAGUUGCUUCUUUAAGCACUUGUAGUUUAAUAAAAAAUUCAAUGUGUCUAGGAUAAAAGUACUUGUAGCAGAAGCGCUUGUAAACAAAAAAUGCUUGCUCGAGAAGCAAUCCGAAAGGAGCCCUUUAUCACACAAACAAAUGACUCCUUUAGCAGAAAACAAGAUUGCGGAAAACAUUUCCCAUUAAUUUUGGUCUGCUUUGUUUAGGUAUGGAUGUUGUGACGACCAAAGCUGCCAUACCGACCUACAGGCCUUUGGAGAACAUACACCAAUUCAACGAUUUCGCCGAGUUUUUGGGUGACGGGAGAGCUGGGAAUGCUCGAGCUCUGUGGAACAAGCCUCUCAAAACCGUUUAUAUCAGCGGUUGAGGUGAGCUCAAGGUGGCAAAGCCUUCCCUUUCUCCUAGUCUCCCUUGAUCAUUUUACGUACAUUGCAUUUGCAUAUAAUUUAUAUAACUGUUCAUAUUGUUCAGUUCACAUAUUCAAUAUUUUUGUUAAGAGCCUUUUGAAGUUAUAAUUGUACGUAAACCUUGUUUCUGCAAAGAUUUUGUAAUGAGAACGUACUGCUGCUUAAGUUGUGCUUCAUGUGUUUCGGUGAGAGCCUUCUAACAUUAUGGAAGCCUCCCUUUCUUGUCUUAGAUAGGAGGGAAACUUACCUACUACAAUGAGGUGAUAGUGGCAGUAUUGAAGCCUAUCAGGCCUUGUCGUGUGUUUUAACAUUUUCACUGUGACGAUGCGUGAUUGGCCUAAGAUACCACCGCAUCCUACCUAGUUAGGCAACAUAGCAUAAUGAACAUUACUAAUAAGAACAAAGAAGCAUCGGUCUAUGUUAUAGUUUGAAGAUACCUUAGAUGCUAUUGUUUACACCAACUUCAUAUUGGUUAGUUGUAGAGUUAUGAUAUCCACAUAUCAUUUUUACCUCCCGCACAUUCUUCUCAAUUUUUUGUUGUCGGCUUGAGUGAAAUGAAAAAGAUUAAAUGACAUAAAUUAAUAAGGGAUAUGUAAGAAGUAAUUGGAUUGAGCAACGCCAAUGGUAUGUAUGAAAUGUAUGUACGUAUGCAUGAAAUGCAUCUACAUACAAAAACAUUACUUCCCAAUUGGGUAGUGAUGUUCGCACUUCCGUUUUCUCUUUUUGCAAAUGCUGGAAAUAUCGGACUUGGAAUUGGAUCUGUUUUUGGGCCUCAACCCGGUCCAUUGCAGCAAAUAGAAAAGGAGACUUCAUGUAAGUUGGGCUUGGCCCUUCAAGUAUAAGGAAUCAGUUCGUCAAUUGGCAAAAAAAAAAAAAAAAAAAAAAAAAAAAAAAAAAAAAAAAAAACGAAAAAACAAAAGAAGGUGAAAAAGAAACAAGUGAUGUUUAUGAAGGUAGGUGAAUUGGGAGGAGGAUUCUCUCGGUGGACCCAUCUCAAACUUCUACGAACUUCUUCCACUGAAUGGAAAGGACACCUUGGGCCCCGCAGUAGGAAGGCCCAUUGGAAAACGACGAAUAUGUAGCCCUUCUCUCUUUCGGCCCAAUAGGGCGCAAGCAAAUACGGAGGGUGGGAACCACGAGCAGCCGCACGUGAAGGGGACCUGCAGCGACUUCAGCCGCUAGCGCCAAAUUCAAUCUGACGACCGAUCAUCUACCACUGUUGUUUCCCCUCCUGCAGGUGGUCCCCACCACCUCCCUUCUGCUGCUGUACGAACAGGGUUCUCAGACUGUGCGGCGGGUAUUCCCAGGUGGUCCAUAAAACGUAGGGACGACAUGUGUGCUCGUACGGGUUUGAGGUCACUGUGCGUAGGGUAAGGACUAACUGACGACCCUCUUGAGGAGGACGUCCGAAAAGCGAAGGUCAUCGCUUGGGGAGUGUGGUAAACCGUCCCUCCCGUGUAAUCAGUGUCGUUACAUACACCAAUCAAAUCUAACGACUUCCCCGACAUCUGUCAACCAUAGCCACAUUUGCACGCUCUUUGAAUUUUGAUUUAUUAUAGGGAUUUUUUUAGAGAACUUCAACAAACAGUUUAUUUUAACGAAAAAUUAUAUUUUUACAUUAAAAAAUCAAUCUUAUUACUAUUUAUUUUACCCUUUUUUUUUGUUAUUAUUGUUAAAAUUUAAAGCUUUCAAGCAUUUUUUCAUUAAUUUUCCUAAUUUUUUAACGAAGAUUAAAAUUUAAAAUAAAUGUGGUGUUAGAUUACAUAUUUAUUAUAAUCCCUUGAUGUGUCCUUAAUUUUAAAGGAAAACUAAUGAAAAGGGCUUGAAAACUUUGAGUUUUAAUGAUAAGGACAAAAUAAAGGGUAAAGUGACUAGUACCAUGAUUGACUUUUUAGUGUAAAAAUGUGGUUUUUCGUUAAAGUGAACAGUAACGGGAGCUUUUCGUUAAAGUUCCCUAAUUUUAAAUAAUCAAUGUGCAUUUUAUCUAGUGUCUUCCAUUAAAUAUUUAAAUUUAUUAAUAAACAAAUUUUUAUUUAUUUUUUGACCAAAAAAAGUUUUUUUUUUUUAAUUUAUUAAUUUUAUUUAACAUUCUUCAAACUUGAAAGACUCAAUUAAUGUACCUAAGGUCUCGUUUGGCAGCUGGGACUGUACUGACUAUUUCUGUCGGAUAUGAUAAAUAACCACCGGACAGUACUGAUUAAAUUAGUCAGACAUUUGAUGCAGUAUCGGACUAAGUUUUCCACUGCAAUUUUAGUCAAGAACCUCUCUGCAAAUACACCAUGUUUCUUUGCAAGACCCAGUUGCAGAAGAAGCCCAGAAACAUAUUAACUAAACAAAAAUCCACAAACUACCAGAAUAAUCGAUUCCUGUUCGUCGGAAAAACAAGAACAGAGGGAAGGCCAAUGGUUGGGCGCACAAUUGGUGAAUAUAUAUAUUUUUUUCUUAUCUCCUCUUUGCUGCAGAUUCAGAUGGGGUAUUUGUAACAUAUAGAAUUCCAAUAAAUACAACCCCACGAUUGGUGAAUUAGUGCUGCUAUUUUGGGUCAAUGGUGAUUUGGCCAACGGUGAAGAACAGAGGGAGGCGGAAGAACAAAGGGAGCGGCAGAACCUGGGAAGACGAAGAAAAAUGAAAAGACGAAGUGGGAUUCAAACGAAGAAGAAAGAACUUGAGAAGACGAACCUGGGAUUCAAGAGAGCAAGAGUGAGUCUGAAGAGGAAUGAGAAAGCGACAAAUUUCAGCCUGACUAAAUUGUACCGUGGUUUUGGACGGUAUAAGCAAGCGGGUAAAGACAGGAUAAAAAAGGUGGGCCUAGGUUAUUUAAUCCGGUGGCUAUUUAAUCCAAACAGACACCAAACAUCGUAUUUCGUAUUAUUAGUACUAUCCGGUAUCUUAUAUGGUGUGCCAAAUAGGGCAUAAAUGUUAGUACCAAAAUGUAUUAUAUUGAACUAAUGUAUUUAAAUGUUAAUACCGAAAUGUAUGUAUUGAAUUAUAUGCACCGAAAUGUAUUAUAUUAAAUUAAUGUACCUAAAUGUGGGUACUGAAAUGUAUGCACCGAAAUGUAUUCAUACUGGUUGGUUGUAGAGCUGUAAUAUCUACAUAUCCUUUUUACCUCCCACACAUUCCCCUCGAUUUUCCGCUGUCGAAUUGAGUGAAAUGAAAAAGAUUAAAUAACAUAAAUUAAUAAGGAGUGCGUAAGAAGUAACUGGAUAGCGCAAUGCCAAUUGUAUGUAUGAAAUGUAUGUACGUAUCCACGGAAUGCAUCUACAUACAAAAACAUUACUUCCCAAUUGGGUAGUGAUGUUCGCACUUCUGUUUCAGCAAAUAGAAAAGGAGGCUUCAUGUAAGUUGGGCUUGGCCCUUCAAGGAUAAGUAAUCAGUUCGUCAGUCGGCAAAAUAAUUUAGAAAAAAAAUAUAAAUAAAAAGUGAAAAAAGAAAAGAGUGAGGUUUAUGAAGGUAGAUGAAUUGGUCGGACAAGAUCCGAAGACAAACAAACGUACGGUCUGGAUUGGGUGGACCCAUCUCAAACUUCUACGAACUUCUUCUGUCUCAAUGGAAAGGACACCUUGGGCCCCGUAGUCGCAAGGCCCAAGGGAAAUCUACGAACGACGAAGAUGUAGCCCUUCUCUCUUUCGGCCCAAUAGGGCGCACGCAAAUAGGGAAGGUGGGGACCACGAACAGCCGCGCGUGAAGGAGUCCUGCAGUGACUUCAGCCGCUAGCACCAAAUUCAAUCUUACGGCCGAUUAGCUAUCACUCCUGUGUCCCUCCUGCAGGUGGUCCCCACCACUUCCCUUCUGCUGCUGCUUUUUUGUACAGCUGUACGAACAGGAUUCUCCGACGAUGGGGCGUGUAUUCCCAGGUGGUCCAUGAAACCUAGGGACGACACGUGUGCUCGUACGGGUUUGAGGUCAGUGGACAGGGUAAGGACCAACCGACGAACCUCUGACGAGGACGUCCGAAAGCGAACGUCAUUGAUUGGGGAGUUUGGUAAACUGUCCCUCCCGUGUAAUCAGAGACCGAUCAAAUCUAACGACUUCCCCCACAUCUGUCAACCAUACCCACAUUUGCACGCUCCUUGAUUUUUUAUUUAUUAUAUUAUCCUCUUCUUAAAUCUUGUUUCCAGACUAGAAAAAUUUAAGUAGGACAACUUAAACCAGUUUAACAGUUAAGCACUCUCACGAAACAAUAAAGUUCUACCGCAUUCGGAUAUCAUCCGGCUUCGUACAGGGUGCAACCUUUAAACCACCCAUCUCACUUCUUUUCAGUGUGAUCUUAUCAGCGGUCUGAUCAUACUUUUAUAUUUAAUAUUUUAUCUCUAAAGUCUAACGGUGGUGAUAAAUAACUUAUCAAAUAAAUAACUUGAAAGACCGAUGGCUAAAUUGAGGGUGCAUAAUCGUUGCAUGUAUUUUACGACUAAUGAUGAUGAAUCUCGCUAAUUAUUGCAUAAAAAAGUGUCUUCAUAAUCUUAAAUUUAUGAUCACAUGUUCCAUCUUUACUAAAUAAUUAGACAUUAGUUACCCUACACAAUAGUUACGUCAUUGUGAUAUUUUAUGAAUGUGUUCGAUGUGCUCAUCACGUUUUUUCACAAUAAAUUAGACUCGUAUUAGUGCCUAAUCACUAUCCAUUAAGUAAUUAUGCCUACAUUCAUACGGUUCAAAAAAUCCUUACCAAGAUCAACCUAAUUGGGUUGAAAUCCACUCACCACCUAUGUGGGUAAAUCAUAUAAAUAUGAGUUUAAUUCGGUCCGAAAUUAUUAACAUCUUGAAAAACAUAUACUUGCGUCGAGUCAAACACGUAAUCUCGAGUAUAGACAUAAUUGACAUAAUUGCCCCACCACAAUCUUAUCGUUUGAGUUCACACGAAUUACUCUAAUAUAUAAGCUAAACCAUGAACUCAUCAUGUGAAUUUAUUAAAUAGAUUGGCAGAUAUUGGAUAUAUUUUUCAGUGUGUCUAAAGUACAAAGUAAAACAUCACAUGUUAUUAUAUAAUUAGUUGGAUGUUUGAAAAAAAAAAACUUUCCUCUAAUUAUGUAAUGACAUGUAAUGUUAUGACUCGUAUUCCGAAUACAGUCAGAAAUCUAUCCAAGAUAUUGCCAUAAGAUUUGUUGUGAUUGAAUAUUUCAUUGAGUGACAUCUUGGUAUUUUGUCUUGACCUUAAAAACUUCCAUUUGUCAAGCGUAUCUCAAGCAUUAAAGCACAAGAAAAGAAAAGUUGCUCCUUCCCUUCCAUACUUUCCUUUUACUUUCUUGUCGACCAACUUCUUCAUUUUUAUGUCUUUUUAAAACAUAUAUUGUUGAAAAUAUUAAACAUCUCGAAUCAGAAAAUUAACAAAAUUAAAUAUGAUGAGCGUGGUUUAUUUCUCGCUACAUCGAGUUUUUAGUGAUAAAAUUUUCACACUUAAAAAUGAUAAGAUGCGAGUUGAGGAACAAUAUCAGUGUAGUUAAUAAUUAAUCGCUAACACAUCUUUUAAAAAUAUAGACAAGUGUAAUUUCAAUGUCUAUAUUCCCUCCACCAUACCAACAGCUGGAACUUCUACCAAAGUCAUUUAAGAAACUUCUUACACACCUGAAAAUUAUAAGAUUCGAGUUGAGGAACAAUAUCUAUGUAGUUAGUAAUGAAUCGCUGCCACAUUUUUUUUAAUAUAUAGACACGUAUGUUUUCAAUGUCUAUAGUCCUUCCACCAUGCCAACAGCUGCACGUUCUGUCGAAAUCAUAUAAGAAACUUCUUGCAACAAUACAAAAUCUAUGUGUUUGUGCGUAUAUAUAUGGCUCCAAGAGGUUGGUAAUUGUUUAAAUAUCUUAUUUAGAUAUUAUUUUGUUAGGGCAAGGCAAAUAGUUUAGUGGAAGAGACAAGAGGGAAAGCCCCAAGGGUUGAAGUAGGAAGCAAUCAUACCCCACAAUACCACCAAACGGUCCAAACACUCCAAACCAAAAUAAAUGAAUCAAUAUAUCCUAUGUCCAUUUCACCACUCUACGUUUUGUUUUUGUUUUUUAGCAAACGUUAUUGUCUGCACUAAGGGAGUAAAAGAGCGAGCUAAGCCUCAUAAUAGGUUAGCAAUAAUAUGGUUCAAAUUUACCUUUGGCGAGAUUCAAACCUAAGACCUCUCACUUACAAGUAAAAGAGAAUACCACUAUAAUGAAUUGAAAGAUUUUAUUAUUUAACCGAGGUUAUUAUCUUAGUACACUGACCCAAGUUGGGGCUGAAAAUUUUGAUUAUGACCGCGAACAUUCAUUUAUUGAGAUUUUAUUGUAAUGCUUCUUUACCUUUCUCACACUACCACUCAACCAUUCUAUGUUCCUCACUUCUCCCAGUACUAAAAAAUAAAUAAAUUCAGACAAACGUUAUGCAAGACAACUUGAUCAACUGGACAGUCACGCUCUCACAAUGAAACAUACUCUAAAUUAGUUGGCUACAAUUCGGCCCGACGCAUAUGUAACUUUCAAUGAAAGCAUUCACGCGUAAUGUAUGGGUGACCUGACCAGUUAAUCAGAAGAACCUUUGAACACUUUUUCAUUAGAUUAGUUUUUUUUUUUUUUAGGUAAAUUGUCAUAAGAUUAAUCGAUACAUAUGCUAUAACUUAAGUAGAACAAUAACAUCGAGUAACUUGUGCGCGAUGAUCACAAAAACUUUCGAGUAUGUGUCACACGAUGAAAUAUAUACUAAUAAAAGUGUUAGGUACUUGGUUUUAGAUUGUGCCUAGGAUGCGCCUGUGCACCUUUAUCCACAUUUAUGGCUACAGGCUACAGCUACACCUGCUGCAAAUCUAGAAGUCUAGAAUUCUUAUUACAAUCAUAAAUAAUCAAUCUUUGUCUUACUAUUUCGCCACGUGUCCAUCAAUCUGGCCGUCCAAUUGUCUUCCUCGGUCCUCACGCAACCAAAAGUCGUCUUCUCCGUCACUCUCUGCAGACAGUAGGACUCCUCCUUGCUUAAUAACACAUUCAAGUUUCAAACUUUCAACAAACCCCACCUUCUUUCUUGACUCAAAAGCCGCUUUUGGCUUUUCCAAGCCUCGCUUUUCCUAUAUGCACUGAAAAAGCCAUAAGCUUUAAGCUCUUCUCUCUGAUUUCUCACAAUUCAACUCGCAAAAAUGGCGUUUCAUCACCAGCAGCAGCAGACCCCUCACGAAAUGGCGUUCCACUCCUUCGCGGAGGACCAGCCGCCGCUCUCCGGAGCUCUGACGUGGCUCAACAACGCAGCUUUCCGCCAGCAGAACACCAGCUUCGGCGGCCUCCACGACGCGGGGAGAAACGACGACGUGGUCAUAUCGCCGUCCGGGAAGAGCAGCAGCUGCAGCGAUCGGAACCGGAGGGAGAUAAGCGGUUACGACGGCGGAGAAGAGGAGGAGGGGGAAGACGAGCUGGAGUGCGAGAGCGCGAGGUUCAAGGCCGACAUCGUGGGACAUCCUCUGUAUGAGCAGCUUGUGUCGGCGCACGUGUCGUGCUUGAGGAUCGCUACGCCGGUCGAUCAGCUGCCAAGGAUCGAUGAGAAGCUCUUGCAAUCGCAGCGCGUGGUCGACAACUACUCGGCGCUCCGAGCCAAUGGGGAUGUUGGAGUCAUGGAUGAGAAAGAACUUGAUUUGUUCAUGGUUAGCACUAAUUAAAUCUUAAUUAAUUUUUAAUUCCAUAUUAUUGAAAGUUUAAAACAUUUUUAAUUUCUGGAUAUUUUUAGAGUGUCGUGUAAUUAGUUGAGGUGGCAGUGAAGAAUCAUGUUGCUUAAUUCUCUAAUUAUUCCACUUUACAAGUGCUUUGGAGAAUCUUAAUCCUUUAAUUAGUAGUUUGAUUAGUGGCAUGUCUUGGAAUUAGAAUUUGUUCUGCAAAUCAAUCUCUCCAAUUUCUUUAUAAUUUCUACUAUAAUAUUAAGUCUAAACAUUUAGGUAUGUAUCCAGACAAUCGAAUCCUGGUGCGUAGUCUUGCUCGCCUAAUCUGCUGACGCCUAGUUCUUCCUUUGCUGUUCUCUUUCUUCUGUAAAUAAAUUUAGGCUUUUUAGCCAAAAUGUUCUUGAGAUUUGCAAAUCACAUUACUUUGGUCUCUGAGAUUGAAAAUCAAUAGAAAUGGUCCUGAGAUUAUUCACCAUCCAUUAUUUUGGUUAUUCCGUUAAAAAUUCCGUUAAGUGUUUAGGAGCUCUUGGCCCGAAGUUUAAGCAAUUUUCAAAGUUUUGUAACUCAAUCUCAGGAACCAAAAUGAUGUUUUAUGCAAACCUCGGACCAUUUUAGCUAAAAAGCCAUAAAUUUACGUACUUUAUAAAAGUCACAUUGUAAUUUUGUAACAAUCGAAUCCUGGUGCGUAGUCUUGCUCGCCUAAUCCGCUGACGCCUAGUUCUUCCUUUGCUGUUCUCUUUCUUCUAUAAAUAAAUUUAGGCUUUUUAGCUAAAAUGUUCUUGAGAUUUGCAGAACACAUAAAUUUAUGUACUUUAUAAAAGUCACAUUGUAAUUUUGUAACAAAAUGCUUUGGUUACGAUGUUGGUUGAGGGUCUAGCAUAACGAGAUGUUCAUAAUUUUGUUAAACUUUCGGUUUUCGUCAUCUGAUCUUUGCUCGUUGUGAUUUUGUAGACGAAUUAUGUUCUUUUGCUUUGCUCCUUCAAAGAACAACUGCAGCAGCAUGUCCGAGUUCACGCAAUGGAAGCAGUGAUGGCUUGUUGGGAGCUUGAUCAGUCUCUGCAAAGCUUAACAGGUAAUUUUUGUUUCUUUAGUUUCGAUCGUCCCAUAAAUCUUGAUCCUUUCCUCCCCAUUUCGCUGCCUUUAUCCGAAAAGUAGGAGACAGGGAAAAAGGACAAGAACAUGAAUGUUACUUCCCAUGUGCUAAACUGUUUUUGGUGUGUCCUAAAUGUGAGCAUCGUUUAUAUAAGGCUGCCUAAUAGUUGUUCUUUUAUUGCCCUUCCCCCGAAAAAACUAUGUUUAACUCUACGUGUUUAGAUAUCUGCGAAAAGAGGGAUUUUGCAAUAGCGAAACCAUCAAAACCAUCGACAUUGUUUCCAUUGUUAUCGUGAAUCCUGAGGUUGAGUUUGAGGUUGAUGUCAGUGUCGCGCUGUUAAAGACUUCAUCGGUGUGAAGAGGAAAGACGAGGGCAGAAGUUGCACUGACUUAAGUUUUUUUUUUUUCGUUGAGUCUUUUAGCUUUGAUUAGUGUCAUCACUUUGGAUUGCCUGUCUCUAUAAAUUCGGAUAUAGGAUAAGACAUCUUGUGUAGUGUCGUCAGUUGUUAUUGCUCGUUUUUGGUUGCUGAUCGUGAUCAACAUUUGUUUAUGGAUGGUUUACAGUUAAAUAUUUUAAGCUGCUUUCACAGGUGUAUCCACGGGUGAAGGAACGGGUGCUACCAUGUCCGAUGAUGAUGACCAGUUAGAUAGCGACAUCAACUCCUAUGAUGGAAGUCUGGACGGGCCAGACACCAUGGGAUUUGGCCCUCUUGUUCCGACUGAAAGUGAGAGGUCCUUAAUGGAGCGCGUAAGGCAGGAACUGAAGCAUGAACUGGAACAGGUACAAACUAUAGACUUACAGCGUAUAUAUACAUUUUCGGUGUGGACAAUUAGUGUAGCUGAUAACCUCUGCUUAUUAGGGUUACAAGGAAAAGAUCGUCGACAUUAGAGAGGAAAUUCUGCGCAAGAGAAGAGCGGGGAAACUGCCAGGUGACACAACUUCUGUCUUAAAAUCUUGGUGGCAAUCGCAUUCCAAGUGGCCUUACCCGACAGUGAGUUUGAACUUUGUUAUAAUCCCCUUGAAGCUUUCAGUUUAGCAGAUUCUUUUGUAAUAGCUACUAAUUAAGACGCUCUUUCGCUUCGAUAGGAGGAAGACAAGGCCAGAUUGGUGCAGGAAACAGGCUUGCAGUUGAAACAGAUCAAUAACUGGUUUAUUAAUCAAAGAAAAAGGAAUUGGCACAGCAACAUUUCAUCGACUUCCGUUCUCAAGAGCAAACGCAAGAGGUAGGAUUACGAUUAACAUAAUAUGGUUGUUUUUUCGAGUUAAUUUGUUUCGUAAACUUCAUAUAAACUUGUCUCAAUUUGUAAUUUGGAAAAAAAAGUAAUGCAGGUGACAUGAACAACCAACGAUUGAAGUAAAUGUCAUGAUUUUAGUCGAAAAUCUAGCAACAGAGAGCAAGGAAUUUAAUAUUUCUCGUACAGUAAAAGCUUCAAGCCUUCAAAUGGUAUGCUGCCCAUCUUUGGAUCGAUCGCUUCGAGUCUGAGGCACCCCGACACUAUCCAUGUCUUAUAGUACCAUAAUAUCAUCAAACUCUAAGCAUGUAACACGAAAAACUCGAACCAGGUAGCCUUAAUGUACUACGUUUCAGUGGAUCUAUGUAGAUUUUUUGUAUACCGAUCGCAUAUUAAAUAAAACGCUUGCUUUCUAUACAUAUUUUUAUGAAUGAGAAUGUCUAUGAAGAAUGUGAAUCUGUAAUUUUAAGGCAAAAAAUACAACUGAAAAAAGAAUACAGAUUGUUCUGUUUCUUACAGUGCAAGAAAACCUAUCGAAAAAGGAAACAAGGCAGCACAGACGACACUGAAUCCGACCUCUGGAUUCUACGAAAGCUGAUUCAUCGGUCCUGCGAACCUCUCUGCCUAAGGAACCAUCUUCAUUGGUAAAAGGGUCAGCGAACCUGCUGAAGCCAAGAGCAGCAUCGGCUUCUCUGCCAACACCUUCGUCGAAAUUGAGAGCGUAACUAUCAAUGUCGUACGACGUUGCUUUCUUUUGCUUCUUGUUUCGGCACAACCUAUUCUUAGCCUCUGUCAGCUUCUUCUUCCACCAUGUUGUCUCCUUGAGCCGGCCUCCGCCUUCUUGCUGCACCAAGUGUUGGCGUUCGUGACCAUUGUUGUUGCGUGAUCCAGAAGUCCUAAAACAACCACGAAAACCGCAAGAAGACGUAGGAGAAGUAGAAACAUCCAUAUCUGUUUUGUGUUCGCGAAGUGAACCGUGGUUUGACAUGAGCACGGUUGGUCUAGAGAGCGAGAGAAUCUGUGUUGAGAGACUUGGAGCAGAAGGGUGUUAAUUUAUAGGGGAGGGGAAGGGAAGGGAAAGGGAUACAAGAGAAAAAGGAAACAGGAAAUAUGUAUACACACACACACACAUAUAUAUAUAUAUGGAAAGAAAGAGUUGAUCAAUACUUAACAUUUAUAGAUUUUCGAGGAAAGAUUUGAUAGGGUGGUGUAGAUUUGUGGAAACAAAACAGGGAAUUCCUAAUGCAAAUCUUAGAGGGAUUUCAAAAUGCCAGGAACACAGAACUAAACACUACAUCUCAUUAUACAAUUGGAAUGACACUUGAAAAAAACUUUCUCCAAUAAUAUAAUGACGUGUGAUAUUCUGUCCUGUGUUCCGAACAUAUUGAAAAAUCUCUCCAAAUCUUCAACAUUCCCCGCCACAGUUGAUAUGCUCACCAACGCGGUGCCUUAAACAUUCCCCGCCACAACCCACACGCCCUAAGAGACGACGACUUGCUAUUGGUCAAAACAAAAGAAACGAAGACAGACCCCAAACAUGUGGAGUGCCACCGUGGUAUUUUGGAUCGAUAAUGUAAUAUUAUGGCAUUUUAAUUUGUUCUACAUCGUUUUAUUAUUUUGGAAUGUCAUGGUGGCGUAAACAAUUGCAGGGAAGUAUCUGUAUCCCCCAUAAGAAGUAAACAAUAUUGACAAAAUGUCAUGUUAAAAAUAACUACACAUAAUAUGCGAUUGGAGGAGUUCUUCUGUCUGGACCAUGUGGUUGACCGGCCAAAUACUCAUAAGAUGGGACGAGAAGGGGAUGAGUAGGCCCAAAAUACAAAAGGAGUGGACCUAUAUUCUCAUGUAAUUGACUUAAAAUAUCGUUACAGUGACAUUUCUGUUGUAGGUAAGUUUUUCCCAAAAUUUUGUAAUCGAAACCAAAACGUUUCUAUUAAGCUUUGGCGUGGUAGUAUUUUAGAUGUUACUGACAAUCUAAGUGAUCUUAAUGUCCAAUUCUGAAGUUCAAUUUAGAGUCUUCAUUAGACAAUUAUACUUUAUGGAUCUCAUUUUUCAGUGCAACUGCAAAUAGCCAAGUAACUUCCCAACACUUUAACAAGGUUUAAUCUUUGUUUCGAUUACGACUCGGGCCAAUCGAACAUGUUCCAUUUAACCCUAAUAUGUUACCAGUGUACAAAGUGACGAAACAACAACAAAGCCUUAUCCCGACAAAGAUUAAGCUUCGAUACAAUCCAAUGAUAAGUGCUUGUACUGAAGUUGGUUCAAAGGUAAAACCUAUAUGAGUUGAGACUUUUAUAAGACCAAUAUGUUUCUAUAAAACAAUAAAACAACUUCCCCAUCACUAUAAAGCAAAGCAAAUAUUAAGUUUAUCUUCCAAGGGCUCGAAACACAAAGGUACCGGUGCCGACGCCGGCGAGACAUCGACGAUGAAGCAACUUCUAAGAUCAUUUUCGAGCCUGAGACUAUGUUGCCGAGGGUUGCUGCGGUUGGGUCUGUCCUUUAGGAGGAACCUUUGCUGCCAUGGAGCGUAAUCCGUUCGCAAUUUCAGUGAAACUCAGCCUCUCGGACGGCUCUGAUGACCAGCAUCUCUCCAUCAGUGACUUCCAUUCAGGAUCGCAAGAGUCCGGUAUUGGUGGCCGCAAUGUGUUGCUCACAAUACCACCUGCAUUAACAUAUGAACAGCGGGAUAUCAGCAUCUCCGAAUCUGAGUAAAACCUCAAGGCGCCGAGCAUUGUUAACAAGUGCGAAGUUGUAUUGAGCAGUAGAAGAUACCUAUGAUAGCACCAUAGUGCAAAUCCGCAUAUGGUUCGUCUCCAGUGAGCAGCUCCCACAACAUGAUACCGAAAGAAAACACAUCGACCUAUUGUAUGCAACAAAAGAGGAGGGUAAAGAGCUAAGGAUUAAAAACAGGUCUAAGAAGCGAGUCGCAAUCAUUUGAGACGAUUUAGAAUAAAUUAAAUAAGAAAGCACAAACCUUCUCAGAAACAAGGCUACUGCUACCAUUCAACAGCUCCGGUGCCAUCCAUGGAAGUGUUCCCCGCACACCACCGGAGAUCAGCGUUUGACAUUUCACCUUAGAUAGGCCCAAAUCACCGACCUGGCAUCAGAAAGAAACCAGUGAACACAAUAUUCUAAACACGUAAACGAAUUACAGUAUGUUACAUAAGAAGCAUCUUAUAAAGCAUGUCAAUGAAAAAUAUGCGUUUUUGAAUAAAGAUGCUGCAUUUUAAACAAGUAUGUGGCUUAUAUAAGAAACGAAAGAUCAAAUCUACCACAAAACGAACCAGAAUAUGCGAAUGCAAGGAGCAAAAUAAAGUCACUACCUUGCAUAUUGGGCGGUGUGGAUCUCGAAGAUUGACAAGUAAGUUGUCACUUUUCAAAUCAAAGUGUACUAUCUUCUUUUCAUGCAGGUACUCCAUUCCGAAUGCCACAUCCAUUGCAAUCAUGAGGCGCUUGCGCCUGUCCAAACUCCUGAUAAAAUUAAAUCUGUGUCAGAUUUUUAUCCCAAUUGAAAAUUACGGACAACAAAAUGCCAAGCAAAUACAUUACUUCUCAUUUUUCUGCAAGGCAUUUCUCAGAGAGCCGUUAACCAUAUAUUCUGUCACUGUUGCCACAGAACCUCCGGGUCCGUCAAGCACAAUCCCAUAGAAAGCUACCACAUUGGGGUGGUGCAAGUCAGCAAGCUUGAUAGCCUCAUUCCAGAAAUCAUCUCUCUGUUUGAAUACAUAAACCACAACAUACGAAUUAAGUAAAAGAGUUAUGAAUGAAUGAAAGCUAAAAGUUUUAGAAACUAGUGUAACAAAAAGACAAACCAUGCGCUCUUGUUCUGAAGGCUUCCCGGAAAAACACCUAUCAUUGAUUCUUUUGAUUGCAACAUCAGUGCCCCUCCAUUUUCCAUGAUAAACGGUACCAAAAGUUCCAGAACCUAAUUCUCUCAUCUCUUCAAGGUCACUGUUCUUUAUAAUCUGCCAAAAGAAAAAGAAAUCGGUCAAUGGUACAUGGUAAUAUCACAACAUCACAAUACAUACAUAUUAAUGGAAACCAAAUUUUCACCUGCAACCGGCCUAGGCCAUCUGCUACUGGAAAACCAAGAUUUGGCUUAUCUGCAAAGUUGGAUUUGACAUCCUAAAAUAGGAAGCGGAAGUUAGAAGAUAAACAACAGGAGAGCCUAGAAUAUUUUUUCAGAGAGGGAGAGAACACGUACAAAUAAAAAAAAAAGGUCGUACCCAGUGCACAAGGCUCCCGCUUUACGCAGGGUCUGGGAGAGGUGAAUGUCGGCUAGCCUUACCCCCAUUUAUGGAGAGGCUGCUCCCAAGUCUCAAACCCGAGACCUACUGCUCAUGGGCGAAGGCACUUGCCAUCGCACCAAGUGCGACCUCUUAGAGACACGUACAAAUAAUAAAAAAAAUUCACACAUGUACAUAUAUGAAUUCUUAAAUACCUCACUUUCUGUUCUGUUUUGCAUCCCUGCAGCAUUGUUUUGAACCUCUUCAUUUCGAUUGGUUGCAUAAGCAGACUCAUUUUUAUCAUGCAAGUAAGAAUCUGAUGGCGUAGAUGACUGAAAAACACAAGCAGCUACUCCCUCAGCAACAGCUUGAAGUUCUUGCUUUAUUUGUUCUUCUGCUGAUCCUACGACAAAGAAGCAAAAUAAUAAGAAAAGUUCAUAUGAAAUAAUUAACUUAUCUAGAAAGAUCAUCACUUAACUAACCUUUGGACGACGGGGCAUGCUCUGAACUAAGAUCCCUGUUCAAAUUGCCUGGUGGCUGUUGGCCUCCAUCGUCCAUUCGCAUUUCUGUAUAUGGUUCUUUUCUCAAUUGUAUUUUGGUUGGCUUAGGAGGCAAUUGAGUAUCCUGGCACAAACUCCAAGGAUCUUGAUUGCUGAACAGUGAGUUUGAGGAGUCCUGGGCACCAAAACCAUUCGAGGUAAUACCUUCCCUCUCGUUAGAUACCAUCUUGGGCUGCAAUCUCAUAUUCUCAUCCUUCCAUUCAGGAGGAGGUUGAAUUCCAUCAGUGAGAUGGGUCAAAACAACAGGGGUUCCAUAAUUAGAUUCGUAAGAAUCACAAGGAUAUAUUCCAACUCUUGAUUGCAGAUAAGCUUCAGGAUUUCCCCAUAUAGAUUGUUUUCCUAAAUCAUAGAAUUCUGCUGGCUGUGAACUAUACCCAUGUGAGACUUCGGCAGAGGGAGAAGCUAGUACUUCGGUCGGGUUAAAGUGAUUCCUGCCUAAUUUGUCAACGAGGUUAUCCACAGCCACCUCUCUACCCCCAACUUGUGCUGUUUUGUGAUCAACGUUGUCUUCCAUUCUAGGUAUAUCCCAAGGUGAUUUACCAUGCUCCUUGUUAACAUAAAUCUCAGUGGGAUUUAUCCUGAGUGUUUCCAUCCUCCCGUCGAUUUGUCUCAAAUUAUCAUAUGCAGUUGGAGAUUCACGAACCAGGCAUUCUGAAGUUUCAACAGGUGCACCUCCAACAAGAGGUACAUCUUGAUUAAAAGGAUCGUUACCUAAAUUUUCCUGUUUAACCUGGUAAUGAAAUGGUGUUGGAUGUAGUUGAACAACAUCGUCUUGACAAUGCUUAGGAAUACUGACCAUGAAUGCACCAUCUGGUGAUUGCACAUCACCUCCUCUCUGGAUAACGCCCUGUGGAGAUGAAAUCUGAGAGAGGCAAGUCACAUCUGAAUGAGAUGUUACGAGAAGAGGAUCUACUGGAAUUUGAACCCUAGGGCGAGCCUCAACUCCUUGGCCAAAAUUACCUUCUCCCUUGUUCAUCGGCUGAGCUCGCAAAUUCUCCUCCAGCCGAGGACUAUAAUAAGUUGGACUUGAAUCAGAUACCGGGCUUCCGCCAAUGUCUCUCUGAACCUGUACCACAGUAUCAGAAUGUGCAUGAGGCAAUGCUAUCUGACACAUAUAACAGUCCUGGAACUUUGUGGACUUCUCGGGAUACACUUCCUGUUGGUGAGAUACCAAUGCAUCAUGGUAAAUCACAUGCUCUGGUGAUUGAACUUGAUGCCAUCCAUAAGCACCUCCUGCUGUUGUUGAGGGUACUUGAACCUGAUAGGAAUUAUAGCUUUGUUCAGCAGGAAGCUGGACGACCUUGGGAACAAAGGUACUCUCGCCUACAUACUUAUCCAACCGGGUCUGUUGUGGAUGGAUCAAUGGCUGAAGCACACUUGGUCUUAUAUUAACAUGAGAAGUCGAGGGAGUCAUUGUCAUGUGCACUGCAGGAAUGAAGUGAUGCGGGGUGAUGCCAGCAAUACUAUCACCGUAUUGCUGUUUGGUGAAUACAGGACCAGCAGUCCCCAAUAGGUGAGGACUUGGGAAACCCAUCUGAGGAGGAAGCUGGAGAUGGUCUGCCCGUGUAACAAAAUCUUGGCGAGGACCAACAUAAGUUUGCAGAUAAGGAGCAGUAGAUGAAAUGCCAAUUCCAGGUUGCUGCUGUGAUACUGUAACAGGCACAGAUCUUUCUAAUUCACCUUCCGGAUGAGAAGAUGGUGUUUGGGGAGGCCCAGACUUAACCACAGGAAUGACCAAUGGAAUUGUAGAAACUUCAGAAUAAAUUGUAGGCUUAGGAUCCACAAAUACCAGCCUUGUACUAGCAUCAUGAGAAGUAGAUGAAUCCCUUUUCGGUGAUAACUUGCCCGGUGAUGGAAGUCCAGUAUUGUCCCCCUGACCAGGAACUGAGUUAUCAACAACAUCAGUUCCACUAAAAUCAGAAUUUUGAGUUGAAGUUGCACUUGCAUUGCUCUCCUUCCUCACGAUACCAACACUCACCCCAUCCAUAAUCCCAUUGACAGCAUCAACAUAUCUCUGCUCACUAUUAUGUAAAUCCCCAAUUUGUACGACACCAGAUGGAUCAACUUCAGAAGCAGAAAACAAAAAUACCCUCAACUUUGCUGAACCAUCUGGAGAUCUCUCGACCAACUUCCCAUAUUCAUCCUUCAUAUUGUCAAGAUCAUCAGCACAUGAAACCGACACCAGUGCAUCGAGAUCCUCAUCGGGGAGCUGGUAUUUAAUGACCACAGGUUGCCCAUAUGUAUCCACCAUCUUCUGCACUAGCUCAUUGAAGCUCACAUCUCUCCGAACACUAAUCCUUGUCUGCCCUCCAACAUACCUCAACAUUCCAUCACUUGGUCUGGGCAAAAUCUUUCCGCCAAAGCUGCACAGAAGCUUUAUUUUCUUCCCAUACACAGAAUCUUCCCCACCGUCAUCACUUGCUUGUUCAGUCCCACUCCCACGACUGCCCAAAUUGGCAUUGUAACCAUAUCCCGAUGUCAAAUCAUUCCCAGUCUGAUCAGCAACAUUGCCACUGACCUUAUUGCCUAAAUUGGGAUUAUAACCGAACCCAGCUGCCAUAUCAUUAACUCCAUGAUCUAGACCACUGCCAGCACUCCUAUUAAACAUAUUCGAACUACAGUCAGAAGGCCUAGAAGCAGUUGUUGUAGUAUCAGAGCUUACAAGAUCAACAUCAUUUCCGCCGACCCGACUGCCCAAAUUAGGACUGUAACCAAUUCCAACACCAACGCCAGGGUUCACACCUGGAUGUCCCACCGGCACAGCAAUGCGGGGGCCAGGGCACCACGGGGGCACCCCCGACACGGCAUUUCCAUACCCUAGGCCAACAUGCCCAGCCUCCGAGGCAACCGGUGCUUGGUAAAAAACAGGUAUUGAAUGAGGGCUAUUAACUUCACGAACUGGGUGGCUGGGGAAAAAUCCAUCGGGGUUUCGAGCAGCUGUAGUAGCCUGCGCAAUGCGGGGUUCUUCGGCCACAGUUCGAGCUACAUUUAACUGUCUCAGUUCUUUGGGAAACGAAUUUUGAUCAAACGCCAUAUCUACAAUUAAUUAAAAAAAAAUUCAAAAUUCAAUCAAGGGUCUGCAAAAUCAAUCCUAAAUAAGAAAACCCACGAUCAAAAUUCGAUAAAGCUAAAAUCUUUUCAUCUAGAUUGCGAUAAGCUAAGGUCUUUUCAUCUGGGAUUUUCAUUUUGUUAAUUCUAAUUUAAGUACUGAAGCUUUUCUAAUCAUCUGCUAUAAACCCUAGCCAGAUUGCACCAAACUAUAACAAAAUUUUACAGCUUUAUAUCCAAAACAGGGGACAAUAAACACAAAUAAUUGAACAAAAACACACACACAGAGAGAGAGAUUAAGUACCAGAUUGAAACGUUGGCGUUUGGAGGAGAGAGAGAGUGUGUGGAAGAGAUAAGAUGGAGGAGAAGAAAAAACACAGAGAGAGAGAGAGUCCGAGUCGGUGGAGUGCAGUUUCCAAACUCCGAAGGAAUCAAAGCUCACAGUGACAAGCGUCCCCUUAGCAGCUCCUUGGCACUUUCUCGCUCUAAAAAUCUGGUCCUUUUAUUGUUCCAUCCAUCGUUGAAUAUUUUCCGUGGUGGGAUUUUAUUUUCUCGGGAAAAUGAUGUGUUUGUGAGGAAAAUGGCAGAGUGGCUGAAGAGAAAAAUUAUGGUUUUUGGUUUGAAGUCUUGGAGAAGAGAGAAGAGAGAAGGUGACGGGGGAAGCCACGUGGAAUGUUUCAUGCAAGAUUAUGAUUUAUCAGUAAAAAAGUGUAGUAUUAUGUGUUGUUGUUGGGAACCUAGGAGUACUUUAUUUUUGAUAGUGACAUAUGCAAAUAAUAUAUAAACAUAUAUAUAUAUAUAUAUAUUUUUUUUUUGAAUUUAAUGGCCUUAUCGAUGAUUCUUUAAUAUGUCGAAAAUAUAAUCUGGUAUAUUAAGUAUUAUGAUACAAAUAAUUAAAUAUUUAAAAAUAUUUUAACUAUUAAUAUAAUGAGACUUGAUAUACCAAAUUAUAUAUUUAGUGGGCUUAAAAAUUUAUCGACAUUGUGGCAAGGUAGGAGAAGACAAAUACAAAACGAAAAUCUUGGACGGUCCUUCAAAUACUACAUUAAAUUAUACUAUGCAUACAACAUAUUAUUUAAUUAAUAAUUUAUGAUAGAAUUGUUGGUAGUAAUUUCGUAUCUACUUAUGGUUACUUAUUUUAACUGCAAUCAUGCCAUUUUAAUCACAACUUAAUUGAAGCCUUAACUUCUUAUUUUUGUUCGUGAUCAAUCUUUAAUUACUUUGAUCGCAUGAUCAUGGUCAAUAUAAAUCAUGAUUGUUUUACUAAUUAGGGUUUCAAUCGUUCAAUUUUAUUUAAUUUUUUGUUAAUACAAAAAGUAAUGAAUAUUAAACACAUGCCAUUAGAAAAUUAAAAAAAGAUAAACAUAAGUUAUGAGUUUAUGUUAUAGCAUUACCACUGUUUUAAAAAUUCUGCCUAGUGCUAUCAAGGUCAUGUCUAGGCUCUGAACGACAAGCGACCACUUUGAUGAUUCAUAGACGAUUGAAAAUUAUGAAAAAACGCCUAGACUUGUUUAAGUAACUAUUCAUACUUAAGAGUAAAUUAUUAAAAGAAAAAAUGUAUGUCUACAUUCGACGAUAGAACUUACUGUAAUUCUUAUGAACUAAAGUAUUUACAGUAAGAAAUAAUUAAGUUAAUGCAUGCCAUAGAUUGUUGUAUACUAUAACUUACCGUAACUUUUUAUUUAUCCCGAAAUUGCUAACUUCUUUCCUGGUCUGAAUAGGGUAACUUCACAAUAAUUGGAUAAUUCUUGGUCCACUAUAUUUUUCUGGAUUCAUAUCGACCGUUUGAAGGACAUUUUCGACUUUCAUCGAAUCGGUGGGUGAUGACACAUCAUCAAAACUGGAAUUGCGAUCCUCUGAAUUUCUGUGUUCGAGAUUAUAUAUUCUGAGAAAUAAAACUAUAAGAAAUUUUAUUUGAACUUAUAUAAUCUCUUUCAAACUUUAAAUAUGAAUUGUCUUUCUUACUCUAUUGCAUAAUUACCGUCAGGUACAAGAUUAAAUGAACAAUAAAACCAAAAUUUAUCAAUAGACCCAUAUAUACCCAAUCAUCAAUCUACUUCUUGGUACCAUCUGGGAAUGUGUCGCGCCUUCAUCGCACUAGCUCGAUGUUACUUAUGAGCUUUUAUAUGCUUAUGUUAUUGUUUAUGGAUUCGAAGCAACCAAGGAUUCUUCAAACUUCAGAACACAUGAAUGAAAUGCUGAUUCAACGGACCAUGUGAAACUUUUGGAUUUUGUACUAAAUAUUGGAGGGAUUGGCUGAUCCAAUUUUGAUCAUUUGCAAAAAAACGCAUACUGAUUGAACAAAAAAUAAAAUAAAAACAUAUGGGAUUUAAAUAUUUAAUUUUUUUUAAUCAUCUAUAUGGGAUUAAGCAAAAUCAACAGAUGAGAUUAAUUAAAACAGAUAUGGGAUUGAGCAAAAUCAGCAAAUAGAAGGAUUACGCAUGAGACAAAUAUGUGGGAGAUAUUGUUGUCUUUAUGCCUUGAAUGAGUUUCAAAACACGAUUUUGGUUUUUUAUUUUUUAUAUGGGUGUAAAGAUAAAUUUAUGUAUCAAAUUGUGUUUGUGAGGGUAAUUUAGAUAGUAAGUUUGGGUUUAAAGAUAUAUUAAUAAUUUAGUUAAAAAUAAUAUGGGUGGAGGGAGUAAGUUGAAUGUAAAAAAAUGUUGUAUGGAUUCAAAUAAAAUUUCUAAAACUAUUCAUUUUAAACUCUUAUUAUCACACUAACUCACUGCACACAAAUAAAGCAUCUGAAUCUCUCAUACUAACAAUCCAAAUCCCUUAAUUCUUGGCUUUCUAACACCAGAGAUUCCGAUAGAUUUUCAAUUCUCAAAACUGGGAGGAUAUGAGAUAUAUUUUCCUUGUUUUUUAUAAUUUUUUAAAGGUAUAAAAAGUUCAACAUCAAAGAGGAAUAAAUCUUAAUUUAUAAGAAAAGGUGUGACAUCCGACAUCGCCCAGGGGAGUUGAUCAUGUACCUUAUAUGUAUAUUCCCAUCUCUACCUAGCACGAGGCCUUUUGGGAGCUCACUGGCUUCGGGUUCCAUCAGAACUCCGAAGUUAAGCAAGUUCGCACGAGAACAAUUCUACGAUGGGUGACCCACUGGGAAGUUGUCAUCUGAGAUCCUAGAAACAAAAACCGUGAGGGCGUAGUUGGAGCCAAAAGCGGAUAAUAUCGUGCUACGAUGUGGAACGGGUCUGGGAUGUGGUGGACCUCGGGCCGGGAUGUGACAAAAGGAAAGAGAAAAUAAUAUGGAAACUAACAUCAGCUAGUCUUUUACUUGUUUGGAUGAGGUUGGCCCAAAUUCUUUGCUUGAUAUUAAAACAAAAAGUAAAUUAAACUUCCAUACGCGGUUUCAUUAUUCUUUUUAAGAUUGACUAAAAUUCAAGAAAGAAACAUAUAUUUUGGGUAAAGAAUGAAUGUUAAAAAAGUUAAGCAUUUUGAGUUACGACUUUGUGUCUCACAAAUCACAAACAUGUUCACCAUUGAGUGUUAUGUGGUUUGAUUGGAAGGAAGGCAAUUUCUAUGAAAUUGAAGAAACUUGCACCAAACAGGUUUCGAGAAUUAAUCCUAAUUUUAACACGCAGAGAACUAACCUUAUUUCAAUAGAUAAGGAAUCCAAGUUCUUCUGCUAAACUUUAAGGCAUAAAAUACUAAAUAUAACCUUACAUAUUAAAAAAAAAACCAAAUUAACUUUUCCAAAAACAUGAGCACGAUGUAGCAAUAUUCCAAACCUAUCAAGCGGCAGUAUGUGUUGGUAACUUUUCGCGUAAAGUAGCUUUAUUAUUCUGGACCUUGACAUUUUUCAUCUAAGUAUUUACCACCGAAAGGCUCAGCACCAAAUUAACGAUAUUAGUCAAACAAAUUCGUGUCGGUAUUAUAAAAGUACACUAACUAACCAAUCGAUAUUACAUCAUGCUUAUGUGAUUCUGGUAUCUAUGGCGCACUGAAAGUCAGGUAAAAGAAAGAGAUCUGUAUAGUACUUGGCUCGAUCGUCUUUAGCAAGUAGAUAAUCCUACCCCUGUUAAGUUGUCGUUCCUCCAAUAAGCAACAAGGACGUGAAACCCUACAUUUUUUACUAUAUGUAUCCUUCCAUGUUUGAAACACCCUAAUCAUUUUGCUAUAGAUAAUAGAGGUGUGACAACGAUAAGCAUCCCAGUACGUAGUGAAGAAAAUGAGUUUCAGAAUCUGUCGUGUUUGCAUGGGCUAAUUGGUCCUGGUCGGCCAUGCUUUGUCGGUUUUAUGCAGAUUGAUUCUUGUCAUUCAUGUUUAUAAAGACGGAUAAUUGAACACGACUAACUCUAACAAUUCUCGAGAAAAUAAUUGAUUAAUUGUGGGAUUGUGUGAGAUGGAAAGUAGACCUCAACUUGCAUUGUUUUAUUUAUAACAUGUGCCCGCGCGCGCGCAAUAUGCCCUAUUGGCUGCAGCGUAGAGAUAAAUUUAUAGUCCCAAACAGUUAGGACAGUAGUAGGCCAAUAGAGGAUAAAGAAGUGGUGAAUAAACAACUGGCACCACAUGGAUGGAGACAGUAUAGUUCCCUUGUGGGAGAAAUCAGAACAUAAUUAGCAAACUAAUCGGUAGUGUAAACAGUAAUUCAGCUAGCAUAGAUUUCUCCUGAUCUGUACAUUUGACCAAUCCUAGGCUCCUAGCUAUCUAGUAAAUCUCAUGUUGAUGAAUCCGAUGAUGUUCAAUAUUACAACAAACGUAGAAGAAGGAUCAACAAAGUGCAAGUGCAUUUAAUUAACUAAUUGCUAUUUAUAUGUUUAAUGAGAAAUGUUAAGGAGACUCUCAAAAGUAAAACUAUUUGUUAACUCUAUGUCAUCUCAUGUUUUUGAUACAAUGUUUUAUAAUAUUGACACGGAAAUUGACGUUAAUUAAAUUGUCAACUGUGAGAUGACAGAGAUUUCAUCAAGAAUUAAUCUCACUUUGAGAGAAAAUCUCCUGAGCAUUUUUCAUGUUUAAUUACUAGGUUAGGAAUAUUUAGGAAGGUCAUGAUCUAAUGAACAGUUGAAUAUCAGAGUGCGGAACAAACAAGAAGAACAAAAUAAUAAGAAUUUUAUUAAACUAACUGAAUGCCGAAACGGCUACAAAAACCCUAACAAGCUACAUUGUGAAUAACUUAUUUCGAAUGAAUAACAAAUCACUCUAUUUAUAAUAAACUAACCAUAAACCCUAAUGCUAACGGGCUAAGCCCAGAAAACAAAAUAUUAAAGUAAACCUAAAUACUAAUAUUCUACAACACCCCCCGUCAAACUCAUGGCGGUAUACGACAUGGGUUUGCAAACAAGCAGAUGCGGACUGGCUCUGUUAGGCGGACAGACAGACAGGCAGGCUCUGCCGCAACGCGGACAGACAGACAGGCAGGCUCCGCAACGCGGACAGACAGACAGGCAGGCUCCGCAGCAACGCGGACAAACAGACAGGCAGGCUCCGCAACGCGGACAGACAGACAGGCAGGCUCCGCAACACGGACAGACAGACAGGCAGGCUCCGCAACACGGACAGACAGACAGGCAGGUAUGCAAACUUGACUUGACUUGACUUGCGAACUGGUGAACUUGCGAACUUGACUUGACUUGAUUCUUGACUUGACUUGACUGGCAAACUGGCUAGAGUUGAGAGUAUGGAAAGAACCCGUCACUAAACGGACGAGGUUUCCAUAUCUCAAUUAUACCAACAAACAACGAAAACAAUUCCAAACAAGGCAACCAACAAUUCUUGCGGGCCUAAAACAAACUUAAACCAUAUUUUUGACUUUUGCCCGUGUGGGCCUAAAAAAAAAACUCCAAACAAUUUUUUUCUCUUCUCUUUUUUUUUUUUUUUUUUUCCUCUCCUUUUUUUCUCUCUUCUUCUUUUUUCUUUCCUUUUUCUCUUUUCUGCUGGGCUUCUUCAGAACUGCAGCAACAUGUUUCUUGGUCUUGUGCGGCGGUGAGUUCAUAAGGCAGUGCAACAAGGAUGUGAUGAGCAGCGGCAACCUGGGUGGAUGGUGAUUGGGUGCGCGGGACGACGGCAAGGGAUCUGGGUGCAGGUGCAAGCAGGUUGUUCCGGUGGCAGCGUGGUGGUGAUCUGAUGAAGAAACGAUGGCUGGCAGGUACGGUUCAGGCAGAUGCGAGUGCAGGCUGGUGGUCUGGUGCGAGAUGGUGGUGCGGUGGUUUAAGCAGGCGAGGUGCAGGGUUCAUGUCACAGGGAACUGGACGCAGUGGAAGGUUCAGGUUUUUUGUUUUCUUAUGCAAACUAAACCAACAACAAAAAACUAGCAUACAAACUGACAAAUAACAUACCAACCCGACCAAGCAGAUUAAAUCCCAAAGGAUUGAACCUGCUCUGAUACCAAGUUGAAUAUCAGAGUGCGGAACAAACAAGAAGAACAAAAUAAUAAGAAUUUUAUUAAACUAACUGAAUGCCGAAACGGCUACAAAAACCCUAACAAGCUACAUUGUGAAUAACUUAUUUCGAAUGAAUAACAAAGCACUCUAUUUAUAAUAAAUUAACCAUAAACCCUAAUGCUAACGGGCUAAGCCCAGAAAACCAAAUAUUAAAGUAAACCUAAAUACUAAUAUUUUCCAACAUGAACUGCCACAUAUUUGGCCGGGACAAAAUCGAAGUAGCUAGCUCUUUCGUUGUUUGACAUCAUCUACCUCAGGGUGCUUGCUUCUUGUUUUGCAGCAGCAGGAAUUGCUUAAUUAUUCGCUGUCAAAGUAUCACGAGUUCUUGCAGAUGUGAGAGAGUAGCAACAUUAACAAGAACGGAUGUGCUCUCCUAUGUUGUUAUGCACUUAAGUUAAAUAUAUUUUUCCUCACAAUUAAUAAAAUAUCAGUCGUAUAAAACCAUUGCUUUAUUUCUUUACAAGGUUUUUAACCAUCCUGGAAAGGCCACCUUUUUUUUUUUUUUAUAAUUAUUAUUUAUUUUAAAUACAAGACAAUUUAGAGUAUGGGCAUUAGCCAUUUAACAUUUUUAGACCCGCCAUAUGCCAUUUAAUAAUUUAGAGUAUGGGAAUUAGCCAUUUAAACUACUCAUGUGCCCCCUCUCCUUCAUUGGAUUGUAGUAUGGGCAUCGUCAUCUUCAUUCACUACUUACGCCCCCUCGUAGUAUGGUCGUCUUCUUCAUUUACUAUUUGCCGUAUCAAAUCUGGGCCUGGGUCGACUACGUACGCGUGCAUGCAUGCAUGCAUUAAUGCGUGAAAAUUGAGCAAUAGAGAAGCUACGCGCGAAUUGCAAUUGUAAUGAACUACACAUGCUGGGAACUUCUGCAAAUCGAAUUGAUGGGGUGAAAUUAAUCAUGCAAACUCAUUCAGAUUCUAUUAAAUUUCUUUAUUAUUUGAAAUUUUCUGAUGAUCCAGUGAUAUAUAAUUAAGUUAUUCCCAAUAUAUAUAUACUUUACAGCAAGCAUUCAUUCCCAAAUUUCCCAGCCAAAAUAUACUUCAGAUUUAACCUAAUUCAGAACUAAUCGUUCGCAAAAGAAAAAAGUUUGCAGAAAAAUAAAUUGAAGGUAAAAAAAACAUAGCAACAUUAGUAACCGUGCCAAUAUAUACACCCCCAUGAAAAUUAAUUAACAAACCAUAUUUACGUUUAUGUGUAUUAUGAAACCCAAUGAUUAAUUAAUUAUUAAGAACGGAUUAAUUGCUGAGGUCUUGCCUUUGGAUCAUACGCUAGCUGUAGGCAGUUAUCUCCUUGGACGCAGGGGGAGAAGCCACAGAGUCCUGCGAUGUUCGAGGCGGCGAAUGCGGUAAUCGGGAGGAGAAUCCCAAGAGCGGGUCAUCCUCGAGGUUGGACUCCUCGUGAUCAAAGUUGAGGGCGUAGCUGAGUGCGUCAUAUUUGAAAUCGGCUGAAUGAUGCCUCCGGCCCGCGCGGCCAUGGCCAUUGCCACGUCCAUGCAUGCGCCCAAUCCAAUUUCUGCACUUGUCUUUCAAUUCUGCAAACUCGUAAUGAUUGUUGUGGUGGUGGUGGUUGUAAUGGUGUUGGGGGUGGUGAUGAUGCCUAGACCGCGAGGACCGGGGAUUAGGGGAGAAUGAGGAGGUUUGCACGAGGCUGACAUUAUCAGCCUCAUGCGGAGUGGGAGGCGCCGUGAGGGCGCCGUGGUGGUGAGCUUUAGGAGUAGGGAAGCAUGGGAUGAUGCAGAGGGAGGAGCGGAGCUUUUGUUUGAGGGAGUUUGGGGAGCAGGGUUCGUGGUGGUUCUCCAUUAUUUUGAUUUGUGUGGAGAGGUUAGGGGUGGUGGUGGUGGUAUUUGUGUUUUUAUUUGGGAGGAGGAGGAGGCCCCGUGGAGAAGGUGCAAUGACGGAUGAGGACACGUAGAUUUCCGGAAUUCAUGGGAUGCUUUUGGGGUUUCUGGUCAUUUGACGUUGUUCAGAGAUUAUCGCUUUUUAGGGUCUUUUUUAUUUUAUAUUUUUUUCCUUUCGAUAAAUCUGAAAACCAUGUUGGGCCAGAAUUUGAAGGUUAAUAUUGUCGUCCAUUUGCAUGACUUAUGGGCUGGGCUCGAAUACAAAAUUGGAAUGUGAGCUUGAACAUAGCAUAGAUUUUAUGGUGUGAUUAGUUUUUCUUGUUGCCCAAUUAAGAAAACUACGUGCUUAUGAGAUGAGAUUUGGUGCCGAUGUGGUUAAGCGAGUUGAUUUUUUUUUUUUUGGUCAAACGAUAAGUUUUGUUAGAUUAGUCAUUGAUGGGGUUCGAACACACGCUAUCAUGUAAGGGCUCAACACAUUUUCAUCAUUGUGGUAAAGAGCCACUUGUGUUAAGCGAGUUGAUUAGGACUGUGUUUUUUUUUGUACAUGAGUUCGAAUUUUCAUUAUUAUAAGUUAAGAUUAGUUUAGAAUAUCACAUUGUUGGACAAAAACAAAGGAAGAUUUGAGUAAUCCAUUUGAAUUUUUGUUUAUUAAUUUUCUUUAAUUUAUUCGAUCUAAGAGCUGAAGAUUAAGAAAAGUAUAUGAAAGAUAAAAAUAAGUGUCUUUUAAUAUUAGUUUGUAUGAUCCUUAGAACCCAUGGUGUGUUCUUCCUCACAUGAUAAGAUCUUUGUCCAUAUCCUUUGUGUAGUAAAAUAUUGUAGAAGUGGGGUUGGGGUUGAUACGUUUGUAUUGUUUAUUGAGAGAAAAUAUACUCACUCCUGACAUUUGUGAUUCUCUACACCUUGUCUUGUUUUUAACUUUGAAAAAGAUUCACUUCUAUUCAAUUUUGAUAUUAUUUAUUGAUAAAUUUGAUCAUUUAUGAUAUAAUUUCUUUAAAUAGUCGAUUUUAUAUGUGGGGUAAGACGCCAUUUGUGUGUACAAUCAAAUUGACUUUCAGGUUAUAAGGACAAAGACGUCUCAUUAUCACAAUGAAUGAGACCACGUGGAUUGGAGAUUGGACUUACGUGCGACCCGAUAAUACCCUCAUAUAAUGCAGCCCGUUCAUUUGUGAGAGUGUCUGACCAUCUAGCUGGUCAGACUGCUCUACUCACAAUUCUGAAAUAAAAUUUAAUAGUUAAAACACCUGUUUCAUUGAAGCCAAACUUUUCCCCCUCUUAAUUCUACUUGAUUCAUUGAAAUAGUGCAAAAAAGAAUGUGCAAAUUCACUACCCUUUUUACCUAAACACAAAAACAGAAGAAAUGAAGUACUCAACAAAACCAUUCACUGCAGCCGAGAAAAGACAUUUUAUUUACUAGAAAGCCCAAUGAAACAUUACAAGAAGAGAUUUGGUUGAUCACGUGGCUCACCCUUGUCCCUUAAUAAGUGCCAGGUUUUCAGUUCAUAGCAACACGCAGCACCACUGUCUCAUUCGACACACACCUCGUGGACUUGUUGGAAGCUUUCGGUUAAGUUGCACUGAAACUCCCUCAACCUUUCCAUCCCAUGUCUCUCACCUUUUCUUUGUUUUGUUUUGUCUCCUCAUCUUUUACUUUUCUUUUGCUCAUUUUCGUUGAAGAAUAUAGCCCCACAUCGAAAACCUGACUGCAGUAAACACUAUUUAUUUUUGUUUUACCAGUAGUAGUAGUAGGCCGUUGAACCGUCUCUGAAACUUUAACGGUUUUCACUGGUACAUAAUUGAGAGGAGAGAGAUGAAGAUGAUUGAUGCAGAUCGUAUAUACAACCAUCAAUGGUAUGGACCCCUCUUUUGUCUGCCACCAUAUUUUGUUUCCAUCUUAUUGUUUAACUUCCCUCUUCUUCUUCUUCUUCAUUUCUUUGGAAAAUAUUUCAGGACCAAGCAGCUUUUCAUGGUGGAAAAACUGUAUCAUUUAUAAGAGAAAUAUAUACAUAUAUAUAUAUAUAUAGAGAGAGAGAGAGAGAGAGAGAGAGAGAGAGAGAGAGCUACACUUGUUUUCUUUGUCGGUUUUGAGUUGUUAUUUGGAGGUUGAAAUUAAUGGCUGGAAUGCUUCCUGGUGUGGAAUGCGCUCGGAGGAGACGAGUCCAUCAGAGCGGAGAGUCACCGUGCGUCGGCGGCAUCCAUGGCAGCACCAGGCGCUCUUCUUUCUGUUUGUAUGCUAGCAACCAUGAAUCUCACCACACCUCCACCUCUUCACUGGUAAUUCUAUCGCUCUCUGUGUUUUUCGCUCUCUCAUUUUCUUGGAAGCAUCCGAUUUUUCUUACCCUCGAAAAUGAAUGAAUCAAACAAGAAUCAAUCGAGGAAAAGAAGAAGAGAGCGCAGAAGGAGAAACGAGAAACUGGAGUGUGAAAAUCGCUGUCCUACCGAUUUAAAUUACAAGCAAAUAUAAUUUUCUCCUGUUGUAUAUGGAUUAUUUUUCAUGAUCAUUGUUUCAAUUUGCAUGUUUGAAUCAUUAAUAACAGUAUUAAUUUAUUGGACACAAUAGCAAAGAAGCAUACUGAACCAAGCAUACAUGGAUGAGAAGCUGGGAGUGGAAGCCAGAGAAGCCAAGGGGAGAUUAGAUGAAAGACUGAGAACACAAAGAAAACCACAACCCAAAAGGUAAUUAAUUUACCAAUAUGUGGUCCGGCUAUGAAACAAAUUGUUGCUGACACAUCAAUAAUGCCUCGAUAUCCAUGUUAUUGAUGCGUUCUUGACAAUAUCAAUGAAACAGUUGUUCCUUCAUGCACAUAAAAUUUCUUAACAAUAAUGGUUCUUGCACUAACAUACGCGACGGGAAUAAAUUUCCUCUCAUUCUUUUCUCCUUCUGCAAUACCUGUUUAUUUUUGUCUCUCGAUUUUCGAUAUGUUUUAACUAUGUGUUUUAUUAUAUUUGUGAUAAAUUUAGGCAUACUAAUGGUGGUAACAAGGGACUGAAAUGUGUGGAUGGAGGAGGAAGAUCAUCUGUCUUGCUUGGGGAGUUGCAGAAAGAAGUUUACGGAGCAAACAAGAGUAGUAGUAGUACAAGUGGGUCAAAGAAGUUCAGCUGGUCAAAGCUGACCUGGAAGUCAUCGGACCAGGAUGAGUGUGCAGUCUGCCUGGAGAGGCUCAGGCCAGGUGAGACCCUGGUGCACCUGCCCUGUGCCCAUAGGUUCCACUCUGGUUGCAUGGUUCCAUGGCUUCACAACAAUGCCCAUUGCCCCUGUUGCAGAAUGGAGAUUAUCUCCUAGUAAUUGUAUUGGUAAUUUGGUAAAUGCAAAUUGUAAAAUAUAGAUUGAGCUUGCAGUUGCAGUUGUAGAGUUGGUUUGAAGUUUGAACAAUUAACUUUGUGGUGCUAAUUGUUUGGUUACAAUAUGUUUUUGUUAAAGUGAAUAGUUGCCAAGUAGUCUUUGUGUGAGUAGAUAGUUUAUGCAAAUUUGUGGGAGAUUAUAAUUCCACACAUUAAUCUUGAUGUAGGACAAGAUAUGGGUCAAUUCCGACGAAAAAAUAUCAAGAAAAUAAAAUGUUUUAGAGUUUGGAAAGAAGAAUUAAAGUUGGGCUAUAUCAGAUUUAAUUAACAUCGCGACAGAAAAAGUAACAAGAAAUAUUAUCGUGCUAGAAUUGAGAGUAAUAUGUCCUUUUUGAAGAGAAUGCAAGAAGAACAAGACUCAUGGUUAUAAUAUGAGCCCGUCAUGUUUACGGCCAUUCGAGGUUGUUUAAACUCCCAAAACAACAUUUUUAAAGUCUAAUAAAACAACCUUUCAUGUCGUUUAAUUUACUAAGACCCUGAGCUUCCCGAGGGGUUGUGUUUGUGUCUUUUUAAGUCGUUUGGCUCCUAAUGUAAUGUAUCAAUUCAAAAAAUAAUCAAACAACCUUUCGAUUUUAUCCAUCUAUGAUGGAUUCCAAAAACCUUGGUUCUUCAAGAUUUACGUUUGUAAUCCUUAUAUGCUCGUGUUGCGUCAAAUCUCUUCCACAUCUUUCGGGAAAAUGCUUGACUAGUUAUAUGUAGCGUUUCUCAUAACAAACAAAUCUCAAUCUGACUUUUAUAAACGAACUUUUUCAGUUUUUAUUUUUGCAAGUCACUUUAGUAUAUGUGAUAGUCUACAUAAGGAAUAACUCUUUAAUUAUUGUAAAGAGUUAAACAUUAUUCCAAAAUUCUCAAUGAUUUCCAAAUUAUUGAACCAACAUGUGAUCUCCAAUACAAAAUUUUAAGAGGUGCAAUCCCUUUUGUGAAUGAAUGUAAUUGCACUACAUAUCACUAUCCAUCCAUCCAACCUCCCCACCUUGAAAUUGAAUAUCAGAUGAGAGAAAAGGCUCCACUCAUGUGACGGGUGGGACAAGAACAGGUGAAUUAUAGGACAGUCUUUGCUGUCUUGGUCGACCUUUCUCUUGUUUAGUGGAAAUCAUUUGUUCUUGCACUAAUCAAAUGUUAAUACCAAUCUUCGCUUCCAAUUAAGGGAGAUCAUGGUGAGAUCAUAACAACUUAAGUCGCGAAAAAGAUGGGCAGUAGUGGAUCCAUGAGUUUUUCGUUAAUAAGUGAGGUCAUAAAAGUUUGGUGCGGUGUUCUUACUUAAGUAUUUUUUUGGUGGGUUUUUUUGGUGCGGUGUCGCUUGAGCCUUCAGAGACUGAGGAACGAGGAUGGAAAUUGAGUGACGUGAGUGAAUUUGGGUGAAAUAGAGGAUAAGGGAAGCGUACUGAAUGGGACACAAACGCAAACCUAAGAAUAGAAAAGCUAGAAUUCACUAGAGAUUGGGAUAAACCCGAAAGAUUUUUUGUUCAUUUAUGAAUCAAUACAUUACACUGGGAGCCAAAUGGCUUAAAUAGACUUAAUUUGACUUUGGGAAGUUCGUAUCAAACCUUGUGAAGUUCAUAGAAAGUCUAAUGAAAUACAAAAAUAUUGAUUAGAUUGAAAAAUGAAAAGUCUGAUUUUAUUACCAACUUUAAAAUGCUGUUUUGGAAGCUGAAACGACAUCAGAUGGUUAAAAUCUGUUAAGGAAUUUUCAAACCUUGUGAAGUUCAUAUCUUGUCCUACAUCAAGGUUUUGGAUAAAAAUAAGAUUUGCAGCCUUGCUUCAUCCUGUUUUGUUUAGCUGUUGAGUUGGCAAAAUCCGAGUCAUUUUCAUUAAACAAGUUUGCCAUAAAAAUGGAGUAACAAGUUAAGACUAAACCAGAUAAAAGAUUCGGUUCUCUCAAACAAGACCGAAAAAAUAUCAAUAAAAUAUAUUCUAUGCUUUGAAGGUGGAAUGUCAUUUUCUCCUAUAAAAAUGAAGCAUGCUAACUUGGAUUUUAUCCUAAUUUGGGUAAAAUCUUCUUCUUUUCCUACCCUAAUCCUUGUUUUUGUGUCACGACUGGCUAGCUGGAGGUCACUAAAGAAUGGACCCAAUUUAGCUAAUUUAUCUUUGUCUUGAUUAUAUAGAUGGAUAAAUGAUUAGGCAAGGAUUGAUAAACUUUGAUUAAUUAUUCGUUGAUUGAUUGGAGUGACGCAAGAGUCCAAAACUUUUCAAAGUUUUCAAUGUGAUGUGUGACUAAGACAUAACUCGGAAAGGAUGAGCGGCACGAAUAAGGUUUCUUUAUGUCCAAUCAAGACAAUGUCGCGAUCGAAAUUGAGCCGAAAUUACAAGCAGUAUAAAUUUUGAAAAUUAUACAAGUUUUACAGUGUAGGGUUACUAUGUGAAGAAAAAAAAACCACGCUUUUAUAAAACUUUAUUUUUCAGCCCACUCCAGUUUACUGUUUUGUAUUCCUUCAAGUUUUAGUACAUAUUUCCUGGUGCGACAAGAGUUUGUGGCGGUUUUGACGAUCUUGACACAAUGUGGGAAUUCAUAUUUUUUUAUUUUAUAUAUAUCCAUCUUGUGUGGGAUGAGAAUUUAGUCUUACUUCUUGACCAUUUAUCUAUGCUCUGACACUCUCGUAUGUAUAAAUAGGUUCAUAAAAGAAAAUCAAUAAAAAAUAAAAAUAAAAAUAAAAACUUUUGCCAAGGGGAAGGCAGCGAACGACGCCGUUCGGUGGACCAAUUAUUUUCAUUAUUUUGGCACCUUUGCGAAUUUUACCAUUUUAGACUCUUCCCGCAACGGCUAGUUUCCUAGUGACCGUUUUCCCGUCUCCCAAAUUUCAAAUCUGCAAUCGACCUUCAACCCACCAUUAAUCUUCUUCACAUACCGCAACUCCCAGAAAUCUCCUUUCACUUUUCGAAAAACACCCGCAAAACCAAAUCCAAAUCCAAGGCUCUGGCAACUUGUCGAAUUCGAUCUCCGUUAAACCCACUUGGCAAUUCAAAUCAAGGACCCAGAAUUUCAAAAAUGGUAUAUUCAUACGCGCCCGCGUACUACUCCACAAUCCACGACUCCAUGACCUCCCUGUGCAAGUCCAUUCUUCCCUUCAGCUUCAAGAAGCGGCGGUUGCCUGCGGCGGAGCAGAGGCUUUCGAAGCUGCAGUCGGAUAACCUCAAGUGGCAGCAGGACUCUUUCCACCAGAUUCUGAACUUGAUGGGUCUUCACAAAGAAGGCAUCUUGGCUGAGACCGAGGUGUCCGCUUUCCGAUUGCAUUUGCUCGAAACCCUCAUUGCCUCUCAGGUGGCGGAGCACGAACAGCCGGUUAUUCUGAGAGACAAGUUGCUGUUCUUGCAGGUAAAAUGCCAGUCUGCAAUCUCAACUCUUUCCUUUUUUUUUUCAUUUCGAUUGGAUUUUCUUUCUUGGUUUUCUGAGUAACCAAGCAAUGUUUAGGAGCUCUUGUAUGCGAAAUGCAUAUCGGAAGACGAGUACCAUUCUUCGAAAAGGCCGUUGCUGCAGCGAUUAGAGGCACAGGGAGCUGAGAUCGAGGCCAAAGAUAUAAUCGCUUCAGGGUCGCUGCCAGCGAAGGAUCCGAAAGAGAAUACAGAUCAAGAGCAGUGGUCGGAAAUUGACUUGAAGGAUGAGAAAUGCUUGCUAACGAAAGAUAAAGAGGGUUUGAAUUCGAAGAACAAAUCGAAACACAGCUCGGCAGUGAAACAAAUCAAAGGGGCAGCUUCGGUGUUGGGAUUUGUAUCACCUUACAAACAUGGGAAAAACAGGGGAGAAAAGAGCAUAUUCGAUUUGCCUGAUUCGUCAAAAUUCUCUUCUUCCAGCUCUUCUAAGCAUCAAGCAGGAGAUCAAUCGUCGAUUCUUAUGCCGGAAAGCUUGCCACAGGUGCCGGUGAAAGAGAACGGCAGCGCAGAUCGAACAAGGAGGAAACCGUUUAGGAGUCUGUUUCAGAGAGAACAGAAAGAGGGUCAGGGGGAUCAUGCCCACGAAAAUGAACAAACACCUUCGAAAUCGGCCAAAAAGCAAUGGGGUUUUGAUGGAUUCAAGAAAUGGAAGAGGAAUGAGUCGGAGGACGAGACAACUCCGCUGCCGCUAAACGAACGAUCGGAUAGUGAGGCUCACUUGAAGCUUGUUCCAAUCCCCAUGGGUGAAGGGCCAGACACUAAGCUCAUAAAAAGGAGGCUGCUUUCGGAUGGUUCUCCUUCCGAUUUCUUCAUUGACAAGGUUCAAAACCGUAUGAUUUAAUUUCGUAAUUUGCUGGCUUAUAUUUGAAGCAUGAUCCGAAAUUGAAGGUUGUUUUUUUUCUUAUUUUUGUAUGAUCUGAAGGUUUUAGGGGAGAAGAUAAAGAAGGAGCUGUCAAGAAUUCAGUCAGAGCUUUGCGCUUCAAAUCCAAAUCUUCGAUUUACGUAAGCCUUUUGAUGAGUCUUUCUUACAUAUACAUUGGUAUCGAAAAGCAAUCUUUUUGUAUCGAAAACAUACGAGUUUGAUUCUUGUGAUUUGCUCAGGAAUGAACAAAUUGAAGCUAUUUCGACCAGGCUUCCGGUGGACAAGGCUGAUCUGAAGAAGUUCUUUCCCAAGUGAGCAAAUCUUCUCUAACUAAAACCACCGCCCCCUUGUACUUUCUCUCUUAUUUUUCAUUGGAUUUUUGUUUCGUUUUCAGGUCGUGGUGCGAUCGGUAUGGAGAAGUUGUUCUGGACGUGGUGAGGAAAGAGUUCAAGGAGCAUGUUGGGGAGAUGGAGAGCUUGAGAAAUGCGGCAAGAGAGAAACACGGUAUCCACUCAGCGCGAUGGACUGCAUUCCAAGAUGACGAGGAGAAUUGUCACCCGAAUCUCUUUGCUCCGCCGCGAGACAACAACCACAAUUAUACUUCAAAGUUCCAUGAAACCAAUCCGUUCUGUGAUGAUCACAUUCACACCACCCCUAGGAAGCUGAGAUCGAAACCGGCAACUUAUACACAAGAGCAGAACCAGAACCAGAAUCCCUUUUGGAUCCCGGGCACGGCUACUAAUGCGUUUUCGUUGAGUAGCUGCUUAAUAUGUAUUUUGAUUGAGAGAUCGCUUGAUAUGUUGUAUGAACUUUGAGAGAAGAACGCUGUUCUUCCAAGCAUUCAAACUUUAUGUUUGAUUUGUAAAUGUAGGCAAUGUAUUAUCUCCUUCAAUGUUUCGGAACUCGAUUCGCUCCUUGAUUUUUAUUUUCUUAGUUCUUCUCACUCACUAUUUGAAAUCCUCUAAAGGGCCUUCAUGCAAAUAUCCAACACGCGUGUAAUACAAGAAACAAAUCAAUCGAAACAUACGACAUGAUCAUCAGGAGUUGGGGUUACUUGCGAUGCAGGUAAAGUGGUCGAAUUGGAUUGGAAAUCAAGUUAAAAAUCGCAAAUUCGGCAGCAAGAGGAAUUUUUUGCAGACACCUGAACCCCGAGUCGUCCUAACCAGAGACUAUACCUUGACAACAAAACUAGCAAGAUUUAUUCAAGACAUUCAAGUAAAGGCAAAGGAAUCUGCAAGCUUUUGAGCAAAAUGGAAGGUCCGUUACCAAUAAUUCCAGCAAGAAACCCACUAUGUGAAAAAGAUAAAAGAAAAAGCAGAUAACGCUUCACCCCAGUCGUGAAAAGCAAUCAUGCUUAUACACCUUGGGGCGGAUUAAAAGAACUUUACAACAUUACAAAGAACUUAAAGACAUUAUAGCUAUCCUUGGGUUUCAAUCCCUAAAGAACUUCAAGACGUUAUAGCUAUCCUUGGGUUUCAAUGCUCACUGGUCCCCUCGCUCUUAACAAUUAACAAUCUAACUUACUAACGCUAUCGUUUGUCUAAAAAUAAAAGCCAAAAAUACAUAACCAAAAAACACACUAUAAGAUCCCACAUCGCCCACACAGUGAUCCUUAAAUGUAUAUUCUCAUCCCUAUCUAGCACGAGACAUUUUGGGAGCUCACUAGAUUCGGGUUCCGUAGGAACUCCAAAGUUAAGCGAGAAGGAAGCUAGAGCACUCCCAGGAUGGGUGACUCACUGGGAAGUUGCUCGUGUGUUCCCAGAAGGCGUGGUCGGGACCCAAAGCGGACAAUAUCGUACUACGGUGGUGGAGCGGACCUAGGAAGUGGUCCGCCCCGGGCCGGGAUGUGACAAACACCAAGGUAAAAAGGGAAAAUACUGAAAGAAAAAAAAACGAAAAUCCCAGGGUUUGCUAUGUUUGAAGCCUCUUUGUUGAGAUGAAGAUGCCAAUUCAUGCACAUUGAUAUGUAAGUAUCUCGUUCUUUCAAUCACUAUAAAUCCGCAUCAAGGACGGCAGACGCUACAAUAUCGUGGAUUUCGGAAAAAUUCAGAUACAAGUCAGUCUUGGGGGACCAAAACAUGUCCUGGUAGAUGCGAAGAACCAUCUUUAACUAUAUACAUUACUGUGUAGUAUGUACAAUUAAAUCAAAGAGAAGAUAUCUCCGAGUUAGGGACAGAACAGUCGGUGAAACCCUCACGAACAUCUCCUCGGCAAAGCGGGCAAACUCUGUAAGCAGGAAUGAACAGAGAGAAUUUCGGUGAGAAAAAAUACAUGGGGAAAUGAAGGACAAUCAUGAAGGGGGGAAAAACAGAGGAUGGCAAUGACAAUACCCGUGUAUCUCUUUGAGCCACUUAUCAACGCAUGACAUGUGAUACUCGUGAUGGCAGGGAAGAACUCGAAUUUUGUCUCCUUCCUCAUACUCAGCGAGGCAUAUGUAACACCUAUCAAUUAUUAACUCACCAUGAUCAAACAAAUUCAUUAUGCUCCCUACUGAUGAAAUCAUUUAAGUAAAACUUACUGUUCAACAUCAUCCCCGGACUUUGGUUUGUCAACCUUUGUGUGACUUUUAAGAGGAAAACCAUCAACAAGAGAUGCUGGGGCAGGAGCUGAGACCAUCGACAGUGAAAGUGACACAGGUUGGCGGUGAAUCUCAUCCAAAACCUGCACAUCGCACAUUACAACAAAAUUAGGUUUGAUACAUUCAUAAGGUACACAGUAAUCUGUUGUGUAAUAUCUGCCCCUAAGCUUAACCGUCAAACAUAGAUAAAAACUGCGCAAACCAUAUCACAGCCGUUCAACCUAGAUUGGUAAACAUGCAGCCAAAGCCCUCAAAGAGACCUCAAGAAGAAGAAUAUACUAAAAUCAUCGCUGAUUUAAUUACGUUGCUUAAAUACCCUCCUAACUUAAGACAUAUGCAAGAGUGCAGAAAGAAAAUUACCUCAAAUAGAGCUUCGGCGAGCAUGACAAUUCUUGAUAUACUUGCCCGAGUACUAGACUCUUCAGCCAUCAAGAAUGAGCCACAUGAGCACAUGCCACGAGGGUGGAUUCCUGUGGGACAAGAGGUAUUACGCUGGCCAUUAUCAUCAAGGCCAACACGAAGUCUUUCCCAGACCUACAAAGAGUCAUGCAGAUGCAAAUCAAUGAAAAUUACUAGUGGGACCCCAAAAAAUAAAGCUGCUAUAGUUUACGGAUUUCUCCGGCCCGUAAAACAUCUGGAUAUAACACUUCAUAAAGUAUAAAAGAACCUUUGAUGAAUGAUAUAUUUGUAAACCAUGUAAAUGAACAUACACAUAUACAAAAUACAGUUAAGCCCCCAUACUCUCGCAAAUGAAAAAACUCAAUUUUAAGAUCCAAGUUAAGCCACGUGACUGAAACAUCAUAAUAUUUUUUAAUGUUAAAAUCUAUCACCUCAGAUCUAGAAUGUCGCCGUCGUUCACUCGAGUUGGGAAUUCUAUUAGCCCGGUGACCAGAAUCAACUCCAAUUUCAUCAUCAAAGAAAUCACCACUCAAACCAAGCAGCCAUCUGUCAUGAAAUCCCAUAUCCUCGGUAUCAUCAGUAGAGAAAAGAAUGGUUGGUGAAUCAAUAAACCUCCUGGAGCUGCGCCUUGAAAAUGCAUCCCAGAACAGUCGCCUGCCAUUCCUUCUAGCCUCACGAUUACUUGCAUCAGCAUUGCUACUCCUCAAAAAGUUGGAAGAAAUGCUCAUAACAUCAACAUGAAGUACACUUCCAUCUUCCUGGCCUUGUUCCCUAUUGGACACAAGGAAUCCUAAACCAGAAGGUAUUGCCUCCCGAAGGGAAUCAUUUCCAAGUGAGUCGAAAGUCGACGGAGUUUCAGAAACAUUAGCAGAAUCAGUAUCAGCAUUAAAACCCUGUACACCCCUUACGUCAGCCACAUGAUUCUCAACAGACACUUCCUGAGAACGGGAAUUCCGAAUCCCUUGUGGAGAUGAGCUACUUGGAAGCAUAACCUCGGGACAGGUCUCAGAUACAUUCUUGUCUGCUGAAAUGUCAAUGCCAUUGACUGAAUCCACAUUAGCAGAACCAUUCAAAGAGACUGUUUCUGAAGAUUGUUCUUGUCUAAACGAAGUACUAGCGGUAGUACUAUUAUCCCUACAAGAUUGAUCAUGACUAUAAUCGGCACUUACCUGAUGAGGUAUUAGUUCUUUACUUUUGGACAAGCACUUCCCCCGGUUAAUUGUGUCAACACUGCUUAAUCCUUCUUCAACAGUGCUCUCAGAUGAUGAUCCAAUUUCAAUAAUGGGGCAGGUGAACAGUGGUCCACUACUGGAGACCAACGAGGAUCCUUCUCCAGAGUUCCGGACUUGAUUGAUAUCAAGAUCAGAUUGCUCUGCAUAUUUUACACGACACUCAGGUGCGUGAUCUUCCAUCUGCAGGAAAAGUACUGAAGCAAAUCAGUCUCCUUAUGCAAUCUAUAUGACUAUAACUACCAAGUACAAAAUGAUUCACGAAAUUUGAAGGGUAUUGGUAGAAAAGGUCAAAAAACACUAUCAAGGCAUGAAGCAAAUCAGUCUCCAUAUGCAAGCUAUAUGACCAUAACUACCAGGUACAAAAUGAUUCACGAAAUUUGAAGGGUAUUGGUAGAAAAGGUCAAAAUACACUAUCAAGGCAUGAAGCAAAUCCGUCUCCUUAUGCAAUCUAUAUGACUAUAACUACCAGGUACAAAAUGAUUCACGAAAUUUGAAGGGUAUUGGUAGAAAAGGUCAAAAUACACUAUCAAGGCAUGAAGCAAAUCAGUCUCCUUAUGUAAUCUAUAUGACUAUAACUACCAAGUACAAAAUGAUUCACGAAAUUUGUAGGGUAUUGGUAGAAAAGGUCAAAAUACACUAUCAAGGCAUCAAUACAACUACGUAACACCACAGUUCUUUGGCCACCAAAAAAGGUAUUAAACUUACGUUUCUAUACUGUCCAUCAUAAGAGAUGUGCAUUUACUCCCAAAUGAACACAAGUAACACAAGAAUAAAUAACUUCAGUUAUACGCUAAAUAGACUAAUGCUAGGUAUCUCAACUUCAAACCAACACCAAGCAAAAUUUCUGCUUCAUGACUUCAUGGAAAUAAUAUAUUGAGGUUGUCAUCACAAGUGCAUCGCAAAGCACUAAAUAAAAACAACUGCAAUCAUUUGAUAUCUAAUUACAUGCCUCUACUUCUCCAGAAGAUUCCUAAUACGUUCGUCAUGAGGACUCCCAUGAACAAUAAUAGACUUGCACACAAUUAUAUACUUAUAUUCUAGCAAAAUAUCUUUACUCAUCCAAACUUUUCUAAAUCUUCCCUAUCUCCCGAGAAUGGGGGCAUAUAUACACAGAAACAUUUUUACCAACCACUUCACACUACUACAUCAGCAGCAUGAUUGAUUCCCAGCUCAAGAACAUAAGUUGCGCUAAAGACUACGUGAUCAUUUAUCCGCACCAUUAAGAACCUUGACCUUCAAGUUCUACGAUCGUAAUCAAACUUUCUCCAACCAUUUCCCUGAGCAUCCUACCAACCACUCAUCGGGGAUCAUCAUUAAAGUUCAUAUUCAAAAACACUAAAAAAUCAAACAACAUAGUUCAGACCCCGAAAACAAAGUUAAAUCCUUUUUCCUCAUUCACGAUUGUUAUACUGGACUUGAACAAAUGUAUACAUUAAAACAAACAUAACUCGAACUGUCAAUUCAAUGUCCCCAUUAAUUAAAUCCCCAAACUUUUUUCAACAACACGGUCGCAUAAUUAGCAGUUUUAAAAUAUGAAUACAAUAUUCACAAUUGCAGGGAAAUUAUAACGAAAAUUCAAAGUAACUGAGUCAUUAUGAUAUUACCGAGCACAGGGCCAAUCUUCUGCAUCAGCUGGACAAAUCCCAUAGAUUUUUAUUGGAUUGUAACUUGAAUUGAGGAAAAUCAAACCCCCAAGAAAAUUAAUUUAAUGAAAAAAGCUUAAAAUUCUUCUAAUUUGCACCAAAUGAUCAAAUCCCAAAUCAUCCAAAACCAGUAAAAAUCGAAUUUUGCAUCAAAAAAUGUAAAAAGUAUGAGAAAUCCAAAAAUGGGCAUUGACGAUUGAAUUGAAGGCAUCGAUUUUAGUGGAGGACGAUGAAGAAGAAGAAGAAAAGGGUACCUCGUGAGUAGCACGUGCAGAGGAGCCACCACAGACGAAAGAGGAGAGUAUGGAACGACUGGCGGUGCGAUUGACUCGGGGCCGAGAUGGGCGCGAGCCCAGUCGACUGCUGCUCGAACCCAUUUGAGAGAGAGAGAGAGGAAGGAGAGAGAGAGAGAGAGAGAGAGAGAGAGAGAGCGCUUCAGAGAUGGUGAUGAAUGAUGAUAAUUGAAGCAAACCGGCUGAGAGAGAGAGAGCUUUCCAUUUUUCCUUUUUUAUUUCAAAUUCAAUUUUCAUUGUGAACUAAUGGUUUCUACAGUGGACCAGGCUUGACCGACCCAUCAAAUAUAUGGGUCUGGAUCAUCAAGUUUCGGCCCAAUGUAUUCAGUAAAAAACAAAGCUAAGAGCAACUCCAUAUUUAAAAAAUGAGAUGACUCAAAGUCCAUUUAAUCCACCAAAAUGAAUAGUAAUUGACUUUAAUGAACAAUAAUUGUCCAAGUGCAUCAAUUCCUAAAAAAUGAGCUGGGUAAGAGUUUAGUCAAUUCGUAUUAAAAUAUUAUUAAUUUUUUUUAUAAAAAAUUAAAAAAUAAUUUUAUUUUUAAUUUCGGAUAGAAUUUUUAACCUCUUGUCACGUUACGUGUCAUUUUCCGAAAGUACAAUUUUUGUGAAAGAUGGUUAGGUAUAUAUAUAUAUGUAUAUAAUCUUUUAUUUUUUUCUGUAUUUUUAAACAAAUUUUUAUAAUUUUUUAUUAAGUUAAUUAAUCUGGAUCAUUGGAUUUCAAAAAAUAAAAAAAUCCAAUAGCCUAAAAAUGGACAUGUGACCCAUGGUAAGAUUCUGAUAUUUUUUUUAAUGCUGGAACGCACACCUACGCAAGCGUGUAUCCCACGGGCCAACAGCAAAAAAAAAAAUUCACAUGGCUGACGUCAGCUUGGCCUCAUGUAGGCCGGUCUAUUGCUCAGUCCAUUAUGUGUUGGGCUCAAAGGUGGCCUCCACUUUGGGCCAACCUAUUGGGUGGGGUGAAGUUGGUUUUUUUUUUUUUUGGGGGGGGGGGGGCAGCCUAAAAAUUAGACUUUGAGCUAGCACAUUUGUUAGGGAUGAAAUGCUCUAAUAGAAAAAAUGUUAGGCUUAUCAUAUUUUUAAUAUUUCAUGUGUAUAACAUUUUUAAUAAAUAUGGGAUCUACAGUGUUAUUUGCACACUAAUUUUUAUCUCUCACAUAUUCUUGUUAAUUUUUAUUGACUCAUCUUCUUCAAUUCAUAUUGUCGACCGAAAAUUAAGAGGAGUGCGUGAGAAGAAAAAUGAGUGUGUAGAUAACGCUAUUGUAUAAAAAAUUUGAUAAAUAUAGUAUUUACUCUUAUGAUAGAGAUAGGGUUACGUGUUUGGUAUAUAUACGAGUACAAUGAAGCCAUGACAUUUGUAGUGGUGAUUGGUUACAUUGGUAUACUUGAGAUGUGAGGCAAAUUUAUUACCAUCACAAAGAUAAUUAUGAAACUUAUGGGCCUUCUAUUUUACUAAAAAUUGACCUCCAUCGUCCAUAUAUGAAACUUAAACUUGGAGAAAGAUCGUAUACGUUUUAUGAAAGGUUUUUUUAUCUGACAUGGAAUGAGAUAUGGUUUUCUUAACUAAGAUGUGAAAGACAAAAUUAUUCCCAUCACAAAGAUAAUUAUGGAACAUGGGCCUUAUAUUCUACUAAAAUUUGACAUAUUAACUACAUUUUACUAGAAAGAUGUACAUAAAGUUAUACCCAUUUUGGGAAAGUUAUCUAAUUUGACAGAGAAAAUCGAUAAUUUCAAAUGUGUCAAGACGUGUGAUUAUCUCUGUUUAAUUAUAAAUUGGAGGUAGAGAAAAAUGGCAGCACUUUAAUUGUAGUGUGUUUGAAUAGUUGAUCAAGGUAUCGGCAGAGAAAUAUCGAGUUGAAUUGUAGGUAUUCAACUACCAGCAAGACAACCAUGGAUCCAUGGGUGUGACUAGCAGUUGGUGCAUAUGAUGGACACGUUUUACCACUAACAGACGAAACACCAUGUCUGUAUCUACAUAGCUUUCUAUCCUUUCUCCACGUACUUCUGCACCCCAUUAACAAAAAGGCAAAUUAAAAUAUAUUAUACAAAAGUAGACCUAACUUUAAUGCUUUAUCCACUCCUAUAAAAUCUACAUAAUCGUCGAGUUCCAACACACUUCAGAACAAUAUAUCCACUUAUAGUUGCAGGGAACUAAGAAAAAAAAGAAGAUCGACUGAGAAACAUGCCUGACCAUCCACCACCACCACCGGGCCAUGAUCACGGACCCCCUCAUCCUGAGCCUCCUCCGCCGCACGCCCAUGCUCCUCCUCCUCCUCAGCCGGGCGGUGGACCUCACGCACCUCCCCCUGGCCCUCCUGAACCACACAAGCCACAUCAUGAUCCCCAUCAUGGUCCCCAUCAUGGUCCUGGUCAUCACCACCCAUGAAUCAUCAUUCAUCGUAUGAUGAAUAUAUACAUGCUUGCAUGCAUGUAUGUAGAUGUAUGGUGUACGUUGUGAUGUAAUUUCUAGUUUUAACUAAGUCGGUGAGUCCUCUCAUGAUCAUGCAGUUUUAAUGAAUGAUGACUUCGUGUACCCAAAAAGUAUGCAUGAUUAUGUAAAUUAAUAAGAUCGGUUUGUGGUUUUAAUUUCCUCUUAAUUAAUUAGUUAAUUUGGUACGCACUGAGCUGCUGAUCAAAGUGUGGUUUAAGAUGCAAAAUUUCCAUUCCUUUCAUGUUUUAAUUAAGAUGCAAAUCUAAUUACAAACAAAUACGCUGCAACUAACUAAAAACCCUACGUGCAGCAGGCCAUGGAUAAUUUUUGGUCUUUAAUUCGAUCUUUUACUUUAGAUAAAUGUCUAAUUUAAUUGCUGCAAAAGCUAGCUUCUGAAGUAUGAUCAGUGUUAAGAAACAAAUAAAAUUAAGAUAUAUAUCAUCAUUAUAAUUAAAUUUUCUGAUGUAGGAGAACAAAUGAAAUAUGCGUAUAUUGUCGGUGCGUAAUCCGCACUAAUAAUACAACGUUAAAUAAAAAUAUGUAUGUAUUAUUGUAUUAUACAAAUGUAAUGCCACAGUAAGGUUAUUUCCAACCGAAUGAGGGCCAAAAUGCUAUCUUUAGCUCUAUAGUCUUGCAAGAAAUUAUAUUUUAAUGAAUAGUGCUAUGCUAUAUUUUAUACAUCUCAAACU
RNAcentral lists this long non-coding RNA (50529 nucleotides) under Malus domestica (apple). Lineage: Eukaryota; Viridiplantae; Streptophyta; Magnoliopsida; Rosales; Rosaceae. The record is from RNAcentral.